UAAUAAUCGUUGUACUCAUUUAUUAUUAUUUUCUGAGUAAUUUCAAUAGAGUGCUUAAUUGUUGAAUUUAUAGUAGUAUCUACCACCACCUAUCAUCGGAUAUUGGCGAUAAGUGUUUGUAUUAGUGUUAAUAAUGGACUGUAAAGAGGAUAAGGCUAAUGAAGUUCAAAUUGUAGCUAAAUUGUAAAUCUCGACAUGUAGGCAAAUUCUCUAAAUUAUGCAUGAUACCCAAUUUUACACUCAAGCUAAUAUUUAUAUAAUUUUGGGCAUACCAGGCAAAUCAAGAGAGUAAAAAACACACAUCAUUAUGCAUCGUAUACUAGGCAAACCAUUGUAACAUUCCGUACCCCUCGGCAGAAAUUGUACGAUGUAUGAAUGGAACCCCCCCAGCCAUCCACAAAUCCACCAAAAGAAAAGAGGAGGAAAGAUACCCUCACAAGGAAGAGCAUCAGCAAGUAUUUCCCAGAUCACAACUGCCUCGUUAACUUCACUAGGAAGACCUGGAGAAGAACCAUACUAUCGUGUAAGAUCAGGCUUUCCCUCCUCUUUUUCCCGGGCUUGGGACCGGCUGUCUGUGGAGACAGGCAGAGUUACAAGCAUACUACCACACAAAACAGCACAAACAUACAAACAAGCAGGCCACAAUCAAGAACAAUAGAGAAGAGAGUGCAGACUUAUGUCACAAAUUACUACAUAUUCCUUCAAAGCGACACACCAAACGAAUACCAAGACUUGCCAUAUACUUAUUUUCUUCUCUUGUUUUCAUACCAAGUCUCACCUUUUAUCAUAACUGCAGACUUAACCAUUAAAUCAACUAAAUCAUCACCAUUAGUUACGGACUUGCAAAUUAGGGGAAUCAACCACUGAAACAAAUAUGAUGCAAGCAUUGUACCAAAAAGAAUUCGAAAAGGUUUAAGGAAAGCUCCAGUGAAGAGAAUGGGAUAUAAAACAGAUUUACAUACAAAAUAAAAUAAAAUAAAAAAUUUGAAAAAAAAUCAUAAUGCUAGAGACUGAUAAAGAUCAAAUAUUAUACAUUGCAAUCAUCCAAAAAAUAGACCCUACUUAUGGGACAGUCAUACAAUCACAGGGGCUUAAGCUGCACAGGCAAACCAUAUAGAACUAAUGAUAAGUUGACCUGGAAAACAGGAACUCUUUCAUUUCAUGAAAAAUCCAACGAAAUCAACCUCAAAGUUGUGUACGCACUUCAACCAAAUUAAUGAUUUUCGAUACUCGUAAACAAGGCAUUUGGAUUCCUCUCAAUUUGUCAAUCAUUUACAAAUGGUUAUAUAUGAACAUAAAAACCUGUGCCAGGGCCUGCCAAAAUGGAACCAUCUCCCAAAACAGCAACGCAUACUAUUGCCGAUCUUAGAUUGGACCUCUUGAUGCCACACCAUAUCUGUUAGGACCAUAAGCAAAGAUUGUCCAACAGCUUCUUCCCAAGGACGACAGAAUUCAGUUACAUGCACUUUAAAGUUGCAUACUAAACCUACGUACCAGAGGAUCACAAAAUUCAAGUAUGAAAUGAAAUUCACACACAAUACCAGUACCAGUGGUAUGUAAGUUGAUGACUACAAAAACAGAUUGCAUGCAUCUGUUUUUACAUGACUGACUACAAUAACAGUACCUGUUCUUACAUGACAUCAUCUGUUAUUACAUGACUGAACAAUACCAGUACCUGUUCUUACAUGACUACGAAAGCAGAUAUUGCAUGCAUCUGUUCUAACAUGACUGAAUCUAACUGAGAAUAACCGAAUUUCUCUUCCAUUCAACUGUAGAUGAUGAACGCUAGCAGCUGAGUAUUCAAUGGUGAUAGAGGAAGACUCCCGUUAGACCCUCUUCAACAAUAAUGGACAUACCAAAUACCACACACCAAAAGCCCAAGAACGAUAGGAGGCAAGAAAUAUACCUACUUCGCCAUGACCAUGAACCCAUACUGAGUUGCAUCUUAGGCCGCACCCCAUGGCAUAUCAGAAGUUUCUUUCCACAUUCAAACAUCAAAAUCGUCAAUCAAAUUCCAUGUAGACUAGGAAGAGCCACAUCUUUACCAUCUAUAUGACUUGAAAGGAGACAAAAAUAGAAAAUCCCAAUUUCUGGAUAUCUUAAAUUCACUGGAAUAAGCAUGUUUGCUACAAGAAUAUACAAAACUUUGCUAAAGACCCACCAAAACUCCUUUCAUGCUAUCAAAGCAGAAUCUGCAAACUUCAUUGAAUAUUAAAAACACCGUCGUGAAUAAACCAGGACAAACAAAAUGACACUGCAGUUGCGCUCAAGACAUCCAUUACAAAUGAUCAGGGAUAAAAAAAACCUCUACAUCUGCUUCGAUUUCAUGGGUGAUCAGUAGCAUGCAACUAGGAUGGGUUAGUAAUGCAGAAAUUCAGGCUUGAAAACAUACAUCUGAGUUCAACUCCCAGCUCUUCCUGAAAUUAAACCACAAAGAAAACCAGGCACAACCACGAGAGGAGAGCUCCUUCGAAAUCAUGUAGAUCACAAUACCAGGUAACAAUAUAACCAGAGAUUCUUGCAAAUAAGCUCCCUAAAUGGAAACCAGAUAAGACUAAUAAUAAGCCCAGCAAUAAUCACACACAGCAUAUGCAAAAUCAAUCAGGAUCAGGGUAAACCAUAAUUUUUCCCAUUCCUCUGAAGUUCUUCUUUGCAUCCCCUAAUUCUGAUAAUUCACCCCCCAUCUGUCAUUCUAUGCAAGAACAUCGAAUAGUGACAGUUUUAACAGAUCAAGAAGCUAAUUGAUGUCAAAAUUUUCCAAGAACUUAUACCGGACCCUGACGAACACGACAAACCAAAUAUUUCUAUGCACCCUUUAUUCUUUCAAAUACUUCCUAAUGAACUUCAAUAGUAAAACGCUGAAAACACAGCAUAACAGGGUAACUAUCAUGACUAAUUCAGAAUUCAUCCAUCAAAAGCUCAUGAAUACUCAUAACGAAUAAAACAUUUUUCUUGAACCUGUUACUCGAGCACCUAACCAUGAUCAAAGCUCCUAUAUCCAAUCUGCAGAAUUAAACAAAUUAUAAAGCCUGACGAAUGCAUCAGUAAUGUUUUCAACAAACACAACAGGACAGCAUGAAGAGAGAUUCCAUGAUUCAAACCACAGUACCAGGACAUCAGAACAUCUGAAAAAGAAUAACGUCCAAGAGACCUCUAACCACAGUACCAGGACAUCAGAACAUCCAAGAGACCUCUAUUUCUUCACAAUCCUCUCGCUAAGAUUAGAGUUCUGCAAGGGAUACCAGGACAUCAGAACCCAACUUAAACUCUGACACCAAGAUGAAAACCAAUAUCAGAGCCGUCUAUUAGUUGCCACCAUCCAGAAAUUUAGAUUAUAUACAUACCAUCAAAACAAAUUAGCAUACCAAGCAUAACGUUAAUUCUUUUCAGAAUUAUAUGAGUUAACAAGAAAACAGUCCCCAAAGAAAGGAAGGGCCUGGGAUUAAGCUAAUCGGAAAUUAAUGGAGCAGCCGCAAAAUCAGUGGAGGUGAAUUAGGGCUGGUUGCAGGAGUCCAGGAACUAACAGUUGGGAUUAAGCAGUGAUACACAAAUCUGUACUCUUAAAUGAGGAUCAGGAACAUGGACUUCCCAAGUGAUUACUGCCAGAAUAAUUGAUGCAUAAGGUAUUCCCAUAAACAUGAUGGACUAUAGAAGAAAAGGAUCAUGAAAAUUUUAAAUUAAAUUUAAAUUAUAUAAUAGGCUUGACAUCAGAAGAGUACCAUACUCUGUCACCACCCUCACUGGAAUUCUGUAAGUGUGUGAUUACAUGAAUAGCCAACACAGACUUCAACUUGGCACAAAGAUGAAAUAAAAAUUGUAGAUCUGCCAUAUUUAUCAAAACUGAUAAAUGUAGCAUUCAUUCUUCUUCAGACCAUGAUGAAUCGGCAACACCAAAAACCCUACCUAUACAAACAUGUUAAGAUGACAGAAUUUAACACUUGGUUAUACGCCAAUCCAUUUCUCAUGGAUCAGGAGAGUUGACUCUGCAGGAAUUACUGCCAGACCAGGUAACAAACAAUAAGAAAAGUUUAACAGAAAAAUUACAAAUAAGGUAUCAAAACCCCUAAAUUCCUCAUGCACAAAAGAUAAACUACCGACGACAGAACAGACCCCUAUGUUUUAACCACACCUCCGAAUCACUGAAAUCCAGGAUUCAACACAAAAUAAUAUAGCAAAUUAGAGAACGAGUAAAGAAAAUCCAUUUUAAAGAAAACAGCAAAAAAAAAAGGCAACGAAAGAGAGCUCAUCCAAAAUCUUGUUACAAAACUGGUUAGCAGGGCCCCAAAUGCACCAACACUCCGGGAACAAGCUCCUAAAAAUCAAAAAAGACAAAAGCCAUCACCCACCACCCCCAGUGAUUUUUUCAGGGAAAGAGAACAUAGAAAUAGCAGGUUGAAAAGAAAAUCCCCCGAUUUAUUCCCAUCCAUCCAAGAGAGAGCUCCUCGCCUACACACACCACAAAUCCACUUUUCUUGAAAGAUAUCAAAAGAAGCAGAGAAGAAAGGACAAAUCUUGAAAAAUCAACAAGAACAAAACACACAGUGAUAACUUUUCCUUGAGGAUCAGGAACAGAGACUUUCAAGAAAUUACUGACAACAAAUAAUGCAUAAGGCAUUUCUACAAGCAUGGUGGACUAUGGAGGAAGAGAUUUACAAAGAAUUUAGAUUAUACUUUCUACAGACAUCAAAAAGUACCAAAACUCUUGAAAUGCUCAAGCCAAAAAAGAAUAAUAAGAGCAUAGGUAUGAAGAUAAACCCCUCUAUAAUAAUGUACUAGCCUUCGACCUGAGGACAGAGACCUAUGUUUUGGCCACCCCUCUGAUUCGACACAGACAUAGUAAAUUAAAGAACAAGCAGAGAAAAUCAUUUUUUAAACAAAACAGUCAAAAAAAAGAGAGUAGGGAAAGAGAGCGCUUAUCCAAUAUCUUGUUACAAAACCAGUUAGCAGGGUACCAAACACACCGACACUCCUGGAACAAGCUUCCCUAAAAUCAAAACAGAAAGAAGCCAUCACCACCCUGAUUUUUUCAGGCAAGAGAGAACAAAGAAAGACCAGAUUGAAAAGAAAAUCUCCCGAUUUUAUUCACAUCCAUCCAAGAGAGAGCUCUUCUAGCCUCCUCAUACCAGAAAUCCACUAUUCUUGAAAAAUGACAUCUUGAGAAAAUGACAUCGAAAGAGCCAAAGAAGAGAAGACAAAUCUUGAAAAAUCACCAAGAACAAAACAAACCGUCAUUAACCUCAAAAUCUUUUUACCGUCUUUUUACCAAUCAACUCUAUAGGGGAACUGCUCAAAACCAGAGCAACUGAGUACAGCAAUACAAAAAUAAAGCAGAAAGCAAAACUCAAAAUUAAGGAUCACCAUCACAUCAAUUCCAUAAUUCCAAGAAGAACCGCAUCCCAUAAUUCUAAGAAACAUCGCAUCCAAAAAGCCCAUGUUCCAUCUCAAGUAGAGAGUUCUGCAAAGAAGUAUGAGAACAUGAAUAGCCUACAAAGACUUGGCACAAAGAUGAGAAUAAUCUUAAAAUAAAAACUGUCGAUAAUUUACCAUGCAAUCAGACCAAUAUGCAUAGCCUUAACACUUCUUCAGAUCAAGCUGAAUGAGCAAAAUACCAGGAACCCCACCCAUACAAAUAAACUUGAAUAAGCACAGAGAUGCACUUGGUUAUGACCCAUUCUAUUCAUCGUGGAUCAGGAAAGUUGACUCUGCAAGACAUGCCGCCAGGCCAAAAAGAUUCACAGAGAAAUUAUAAUUAAGGCAUUGAAACCCCUAAAUUCCUCUAGCACAAAAGAACAAUUUGUGUAGGUGAGAAAAUAACUCCCUCCAAAAAAUUUAACUAGCCCUUGAUCUGAGAUUGGGAAGGCAAGUUUGAAGCACGAAUCACUUCACUGAAACCCCAAGCUGCACCCUAGUAAUAUGGGAAAUUAGAGGAGAGGAGCAAAUCCACAGAUAUCCUAAUCAAUUUCAAGGAAACAGCAGAAAAACAAGUAGGGAAAGAGAGAGCUCCUCCAAAAUCUUGUAAACUGGAAUAGCAGGUCACAAAUGACGAGAACGCUCCAAUCCAAACUUCCCUAAAAUGAAGACAAUAGAUAAGCUAUUACCAACGAAUACCAACUAUUUUUAUGCAACAGAAAAAAUUGCUUGGCAGAAAAAAAAACUCCCGAUUUAUCACAUUCAUCCAUCGAAGAAAAGCUCUUUUUUGCUUCCAUCCAUCCAAGAAUCACAAAUCACUUCACUGAAACCCUAAGUUGCAGCACCAUAGUAAUAUGGGAAAUUAGAGAACAAGGAGCAAAUCCACAAAUUUCCUAAUCAAUUUCAAGGAAACAACAGAAAAACAAGUAGGGAAAGAGAGCUCCUCCAAAAUCUUGUAAGCUGUAAUAGCAGGUCACACAAAUGACGCGAAUGCUCCAAUCCAAACUUCCCUAAAAUGAAGACAACAGAUAAGCUAUUACCAACGAAUACCAGCUAUUUGUAUGCAAAAGAAAGAAUUGGUUGGCAGAGAAAAAAAUUCCCGAUUUAUCACAUUCAUCCAUCCAAGAAGCUCUUUUUUGCUUCCCUCCAUCCAAGAAUUACUUCCAUACGCAGAACUCCAUCAUUCUCAGACCACAUCAAAGAACCAGAAAAGAAGACAACCUUUAAACAUCAACCAGAACCAUUCAAGAAUAACUACAUCAACAAACCGCAAAACCUCAAGAUCAAUCCUCAAUCAACACCACAGAGAAAUUGCUGAAACCCAGAGCCACGACAUAUAGCAGCAACACAACCUAAAGCAACGACUGAAACACCAAUGUUGAGCCCCAAAUAAGAGAUUAUGUUCAAAUACGUCCAAUUAAUUCACAGAAUAACAUACAAGAGACCUUCCUCUCAUUAAAGUUGCCAGUGACACAAAAAGCCAACAAAAAUGAAAUUGGAUGCAAAGAUGAGAACUGACAAAUGAAUUGACAAAUUCAGAUAAUCUACCAUAACACUAAACCUAUUCAUGUAACAAGCAUAAACUUGAUUCUUGUUCGGAUCAAGAAGAAAAUUCUAUGGGAACUACCUAGAAAAACAUCUUUGAUGGCAGAAUUUAAAAGCUAAGAAAUACCUGACAGCAGCAAUAUUGCCAUAUUGACACAAUCCUAAGCAUCUGAGGACCAUAUGGAACCAAAAUAAAUUCAAAACCCUGAAGACAACAAAUGGGCAAAGAUAACUCUGAUGGAGAAGCAGCAAAGUAUGUGCAGGCAAAUUGGAUGGAGAGGUUGAAAGCUAUUUCAAUGGUGUUUCUCCCGGAGUUCUGAAAAGAAAAAUACUCAACAAAACUGUGUACAGGUAUCAAAAGGUGCCAAAAGCAUAAAUUCCUAAGUAAAAGAUUGUAAGAAGAUAACUCCCUCCAAAACAGUUUACCAUCUGAGGAAGGAAGGCUCAGUUAUCACAACUCCAAAUCACUGAAACCCGGUAUUGCACAACACAGAUUGAUGCAGGAAAUCAGAAAACGAACACAGCUGUCUCACAGAGCAAACCAGCACCUUUAGCCAGAGAACUCCCUAGUCAAACAGCAGAAAACAAGGACAGAGAACUUCUGGAAUCUUGUAAACCAGUAUAGCAGGAUAAAAAAUGCAACCAGACCCUCUUGCAUUCAAGCUCCCCUAAAUCAAUACAACAGAGAGGGCCAGUUACUAAUUGACUCCCCGCCUAAUUUUUUCAGGAAAUAAAAAAGGAAACCAAAAAGGGAGGGGGGAAAAACUCCCAAUAUCGUAUAAUAUUCGGAUGCAAUAUCUUUUUUAGCUCCACCUAAGACUAGGAUUCUGCCAGCUCCACCUAAGACUAGGAUUCUGCCAAGCCACGAGGAGGACAUCAAAAGAACAAGAAAAAGAAAAGACGACGAUCUUGAUAACAAAGAACAAUCGGGAAAUUACUAAUCAACAAACCCGACAAUUGUAAAAACACAAAUCUUCAUCAAUCUUCGAACGACACCACACCAAAACUAUUCAAAGUCCAGAGCACCACCUACAGCAAUAAGAACAACAAUAACCAUACCACAGAUACGAAAAAAAAACUCCAGGAUUCAGAUUACGCUUACAUCCAUCCAAGAGAGAGUUCCUUCCCACUGUACAUGCCCGAAAUCCAUCAUUCUACAGUAAGCACAUCAAAAAAACCAGAAAAGCACUAAUUUUGGAGGAGACUUGAUGUCAAAUUUGUCUGAUAAUUGGAAUUAUCCAGAAAUUACCACAAAAACAAACCAAAACUACUGCAAAAAAUGGUAUCCUUCCCGUUCAAUCCUUCGAAAUACCAGAGCCACUGCCCGGAAACAACCAUGAUUAAAUCUCAAAAAUUGCCAUAACAAAAUUAGCGAUAAUAAGCUUCAAAUUAAUCAAAUCAUCAAACCAUAGAAGCAACGGUCGAACCCAGUGAAGAUCAUCAAUUGAAGAUCCUAACCUUCUGCUGAAACAAAAAACCACAACAAUUGAAUCUCACUUAGGGAAAACCUAAUCCUAGACUCAAGAGAAAGAGCAGCAAAGUAGGUGCAGGCAAAUUGAAUGGAGAGGUUGAAAGCUAUUUCAGCAGUGUGUGUCCUGAAGUUCUAAAAAAGAAAAAAAAAACUCGAGAAAACAGCGUGCAGAUAUCAAAAGGUGCCAAAAGCAUAAAUUCCUCAAGCACAAGAUUAUGGGUGAGAAAACUCCCUCAAAAUCAGUUUACCAUCCGAGGAAGGCAGGCUCGGUUAUCACCACAACUCCGAAUCACUGAAACCCUAUAUUGCACAACACAAUCCUAGACUCAAGAAAAGAGCAGCGAAAUAGGUGCAGGCAAAUUGAAUGGAGAGGUUGAAAGCUAUUUCAACAGUGUGUCCUGUAAGUUCUAAAAAAGAAAAAAAAAUCGAUAAAACAGCGUGCAAAUAUCAAAAGGUGCCAAAAGCAUAAAUUCCUGAAGCACAAGAUUAUGGGUGAGAAGAUAACUCCCUCCAAAUCAGUUUACCAUCUGAGGAAGGAAGGCUCAGUUAUCACCGCAACUCCGAGAAGACCCAGAGGAAGGAAGGCUCAGUUAUCACCACAACUCCGAAUCACUGAAACCCUAUAUUGCACAACACAAUCCUAGACUUAAGAGAAGAGCAGCGAAAUAGGUGCAGGCAAAUUGAAUGGAGAGGUUGAAAGCUAUUUCAACAGUGUGUGUCCUGUAAGUUCUAAAAAAGAAAAAAAAAACUCGAUAAAACCGCGUGCAGAUAUCAAAAGAUGCCAAAAGCAUAAAUUCCUGAAGCACAAGAUUAUGGGUGACAAGAUAACUCCCUCCAAAUCAGUUUACCAUCUGAGGAAGGAAGGCUCAGUUAUCACCACAACUCCGAAUCACAGAAAUCCUAUAUUGCACAACACAAGUAAUGAAGCAAAUCAGAAAACGAACACCUCGCUGAGCAACUCAGCAUCUAUAGCCAGAAAACUCCGUCAAACAGCAGAAAAGGAGGACAGAGAAAACUUCUCUCGAAUUUGGUAAACCAGUAUAGCAGGGUAAACCCUCUUGCAUCCAAGCUCCCCUAAAUCAAUACAACACAUAAGGCCAGUUACUGAUAGACUCCCCGACUAAUUUUUUCAGGAAAUAAAAAGGGAAACCAAAAAAGGGACGAGGGAAAACACUCCCGAUGCCGUAUAAUAUUCGCGUCCAGAAAGUCUUUUUUAGCCCCACCGAAGACUAGGAUUCUGCCACGCCACAACGAGAACAUCAAAAGAACCAGAAAAAGAAAACACGAAAAUCUUGAUAACAAAGAACGAUCCAGAAAUUACAAAUCAACAAACCCAACAAUAGUAAAAGUUGAAUCUUCCUCAUCAAUCCUCGAUCGUCACCACACCAAAACUACUGAAAGUCAAGAGCACCGCCUACAACAAUAACAACCACAAAUAUGAAUGAAAUAAAAACUCCAGAUUCAGAUUACCCUCACAUCCAUCCAAGAGAUAGUUCCUUCCCACUCCACAUGGCCCGAAAUCCAUCAUUCUACAAGAACCACAGCAAGAAAACCAAAAAGAAGAACCAAAAAGGGCUAACUUUGAAGGAAAUUUGAUGUCAAAUUUGUCCGAUAAUUGGAAUGAUCCAGAAAUUACCACCAGAAAUUACCACAUAAACAAACCGAAACUAGUGCAAAAACUGGUACCCAUCCCGUUCGAUCCUUCAAAACACCAGAUCCACCGCCAAAAACACAAUCAUGAUUAAAUCUCGAAAAUCACCAUAAAAAAAUUAGCGAUAAUAAGCUUCAAAUUAACCAAAUCAUCAAACCAUAGAAGCAACGAUCGAGCCAGCGAUGAUCAUCAAUUGAAGCUCCUAACCUUCAACUGAGGCAAAAAUCCACAGCAAACGAAUCUAAUUUAGGGAAAACCUAACCCUAGAACCUAAACAAAACCUACGACGAAGAAGAGCAGACAAAUAUCUUACCACACAACUAGCAGGCGAAAAUGGUAAGUGUCGGUGGAUGGGAUUGGGUAUUUAUAGAUGUUUGGGAAGAGAAUGAACGGUUAGGAUUAAGCUGAAAUCUGUGAUCUGGUCGGUUGAAAAGAGGUCUUAUCCAAAAGUCCGCUAGGACUUGGGCUAAGAUUCUCCUACGCGUAUUGUACAAAAGUCGGUUGUUUAUUUAAUUUAGGAAAUUUGGCCACCACAAGAUUUAUAGAUUUUUUAUUUAUUUAUUCUUUUACCAAAAUUAUUUUUGAAAAAAUCCUUGACAGCUUGGGAAACAUUGGACUUGUUUGGACAGGAAGAAUUUGUAAAAUUUGGAUUGCAAAUUUGUUUUGUAUGAUUUGUAAUAUGUGAAGAUGUUUUGUUUUGGAAGUUUGUAAUUUGAAUUGUGGCAGUCCGGAGGGAAGAAUUUAGACCGUAAUUAUGAAAUUGUCAGGAAUGGAAGAAUUUUCACUUCCUUAGUCAAAUUUGUUGGUGUCCGGUCCCACUGCAGGAGAGAGACGGAUUCUUGAAUACUUUUGGCACUUCAGCAGAGAGUGGUGUGUAUGGGCCAAACAUAUGAAAUUGACCGGGUCCCACAGUUUCAAUUCACUUUAGGAACGUGGGAGGACAAUUCACGGCAAUUAAAGAGCUGAUGAAUUGGCACCUGAUGAAUUUUUGGCCAGCUACAUUGCAGUGGUCAAAUGCAAACUGUUUUUGUUCUGGGGGGAACCCAUCAAGCUAUUGAAGGACGAUAUGUACUACGAGUAACAUGGAAAUUGGACGAGACUGCAUAGGAUUUGCACGUUCGGGCAAGUCUGUCCACCAUCUAUGGAGGAGAAUGCUGGAAUUCUGUUUGCAAUCACCUGUAAUCCUGUUUGCAAUCACCUGUAAUCACCUGUAAUUGAUGCGUUGUUUUAUUUAAUUUUUAACUAUUAAACUGCAGGAGGAGAAUUAGGAAAGGUGUCUAAGUCGAGGAAAAUUAGCCCUAAGUUUUGCAGCAAGGCUUGUCUAGAGACCUACAAAAUAAAACUCCUGACUUGCUGAUAGAAAUAGCAAACGACAUGCAACAAGAAUAUAUGAGGCACAUACAGGAUAUAGAAGAAUUACAAAUAUAGAAUUACAACGAGUAGCAACGUCCAUAUUUAGGGUCACAAGAUAUAUAGUCGGGCAUGACAAAUUAUUAAAGGUACUUGGUCAUUCUUGUAGGCGCCUCUAGCGAAUAUCAAAUCAUGGGUUCACCUGUUUCAUGCAUUUUAUCGCCUAUUUCUAUAGGCAUUGAACAUAUGCGUAGCCAGUGUGUCUCUCAUGCCAAUCCAUUGCUCAACAACUUCAGGCGGAGAAUGCAAUGGCUGUAUCUCGGGAUAAGGAGGAAUUGCACCAUGAAUAUCUAGAUCUCCCUCCUCCGCGUCAGCAAAGUACAUGUCAUUCGGUUGUUGAUCCCUAAUGAAGUUAUGCACGGCACAACAAGCAAUAACUACAUUUAUCUGUGUUGUCAUCAUGUAGUUCGGAACGGCUCCCCUUAAAAUGGCAAAUCUCCUUUUUAGGACACCGAAACUUCGCUCUAUGACAUUCCGUAGUGCAGAGUGCCGGUAAUUAAACAGCUCUUUCGCAGUUGCAAAUCUCCCCCUCCUGCGACCACUAACAUCAGCUUGGCGUCCCCUAUAUGGUGGUAAGAAACCGGGCAAGUUUCGAUACGCGGAGUCAACCAAAUAAUAUUUUCCUAAGUCAAUUAUGAGAUAGGAACGAAUUAGCUUUGACCAUUUCGAACUUUCUGAUCUUUCGUACAAUUUAUUGAAUAUCGGUACGAUUUGAUAAACAAUUUGAAUGGAAGAUUUACUAAAGAAUGUUCAAUUGAAAAAUGGUUUUUCAAAUAUACUUGCUAAGGCAAAUUUAAGACAGCAAUUUAAGAGAUCCAAUAUAUAUAUCAUUCGGUCUGCUAAGGAAUGGGAUAAAAAUAUGCAAUUGCUUUCCAAAUUUACGUGAAGGGAGGGAUUACUUGUAUUACCUGUAGGAGGCAUGGGGAAGUGAUUUGGGCCGGUCAAAGCCCCAUCUAAGACUCGGGCAUCAUGUGCACUUCCUUCCCAACCGGCAUACACGUACACAAAUCGCAUAUCAUGGUCGCACACAGCCAAAACAUUUUGUGACUGUACACCGUGUCGAUUAGUGUAUGCCACUUGUUGUCCUCUUGGGGCACAAGCAGGUAUAUGUGUCCCAUCAAUAGCUCCGACGCAGUCCUAAAAUUUUAAAUUAUUAAAAUGGACAUAUUCUCGGGAUUCUGAAAUGGAUCUGCAUUAAAAUGUCAUUUAAAAAAAACACUCCAGUGGCAUACUCUUCGUCCAUGUCACACCCAAAAUUUCUGACAGAAGACUUAUCUCUACUGCAACGUCAUGACAAAUCUACCCAAUUGGUUUUUAACAUCAAGAAUGUACCCAGUGGGGUCAACCACUUUUUUGUUUUCUGGAUUUCUGGGCAAAGUUCAUCAAACGCAUGGAAAUAGGUGGAAGUGCUAAAGAUGAAAAAAGUUCAGGUUCAAAGAGGGACAAGUGAGAAAGCUACGGAGCCAGGAAUUUAUUUUUGGGGGGCUGAAGUGUAUUAAAAUUUUUUUUUUGUGACGAAAUAAAUACAUUUAAUAAGUAAAAUUUAGAAUCAAAUAAAUAUAUUUAAUAAGUAAAUAUAUUUAAUAAGUAAAUAUAUUUAAUAUAUUAAAUAAGUAAAUAUAUUUAAUAUAUUAAAUUUUAGAAAUUGCAUGUCUUCUAUUUCGACGUUUCUGAGAUAGAUUACCGUGUUUAUACAGCCAUCACACUCAUGUCCCACUAAUAUUGCAUAUGUGUGAUUAAUGUGAUAUACAUUGGGGAAAAGAAAAAGAAAAAUUAGGUGACAUGUGAAGUCAACUAAAGGCGACGGUGAGGCCUUGAUCCUCAAUAUAUAUAGGGGACAUUUGUUAGACUUGUUCUGCUCUGAACUUGGACAUUUGUUACUCUUUUUCAUGCGUGAAGAGGAUUAGCUGUUUCUAACUCUUUUUCCUGAAGUAACCAUGUAAUGAUAUCCCACACUGCAUAUCAUGUAAUGGGAACAAUUGUUAAUUUUAUGUCUGGUUAAAAAUUUCCCUUUUUCUGGAGUCUGGAUUAAAUUUUAAAAAUUUUCAUACUAGACUUGCAUAGACUUCUUCGCAGGGAACGCAAAACUCAAUAGGCCUGCACUUUCCAAACUUGACUUGCUGUUGACGGUGGACAAACCUGUAAUUUAUUUGCUAUCUAGAGUUUGUAAAAGUCCACUGACGCUGAUGGUUCCUAAUUGAAAUUUUAUUCUGUAGUUGGCAUUACUGAAAAAAAAAAUGAUGUGCUCAUCCUCCUAGUGUUGUUAGACAAAAUUCCAAUCCCAAAAUUAACUCUUUUGCCGAAAACAAGAAAAGAUAUGGCAUUUCCUUAUUUUGUUAAUUAUUUGAUGACCUAAAAUAUUAAGCACAGAAUUACAAAUCCAACCAAUAACAAGUAGAAAUUCUUAACAACAACAUUAGGUGGUUCCCUAAUGUAAAUUAAAAUAUUCAUGUCCAUUUAUAAGCUAUCAACAUGAAUAAAUAAAAUAGUUGGCAUAUUAGAAUGUCAGCAUACUUGAAAAAAAGAAUUUUAUAUAUAGAGGACAAAGGAUUUGGAACAAAGGAUUUUUUGAAUCAACGAGAUAGGAUUUUGAAUGUCACCGUACUUCAAACCAAGGAUAAAACCUCGUGUCAUUAAGAAUUUUCGGAUGAAUUUCAUCCUGCCAUCUUGGAGUAAUUGCGAAUUGCGCGAAGGUGCAUAGGCCCCGAAUGACUUCGUGAAUAUUUCGAUGUACUGUCUCCGUCGAAUGGUUAAAUCGAUCAGCAAUCAUACGCAUUCUCAUGUUGUGGCUCAUCAUGACCAAUGUCAUCGCAAGUGCCUCCUCUAUUGUAACCCUUUUCUGAUGAUUUUGGGGAACAAAUCCGCAUUCGGCCAAAAGCUGGCACAACCUCAUGAAAGAAUCAACGUUUAGCCUUGUUGCAUCCAUGAUCCGGGUAUGGUGGCCUGACAGCACUUCCUCAACCCAGUGUCGUCCUGACAGCGCAGACGUCCUGCAUGGCACCUUCUGGAGUGGACCUCCGUAUGGUUCUGCAUUUGGUCCAAAUAGCAGCGCAGCACCCGCAGCAAAAAGAACAUCGUCUUCGUCCGAAGACGAGCUGGUCCCCUGCUCAUCUCCGAAGUCGCUCAUUUGGAACCUUUCCCACCAAAUAUGUUGCCAGGAACAAGUAGUGUUUAGCCCAAAUAGAGGAUGCUAUAUAAGAGCUGUGUGAGGUCUGAGUUAUCACAUGCUCUCUUUCCGUAUGUUAUUCUCGGACUAUGGUAUUUUUUGCAUGGGGUCCAAUGGCCUGACAUCACGUGAAUAAUUAUUGUCUGCAAUUAUUUCACCGUGUCGGUAGGUCAUCUUUGGAUGCCAAAACAAAUGACCUGUGGGCAGCUUUUGCCAGGCACAAAUCGGAAAGGCCUGUGGGAGUAUCUACUUUCUUGCUCCUCUCUUUUGGAGUUUUGUGUAGAUGGUGGCCUUGCAUAAUGAAUAUGGUAUGUGUAGAGGUUCUGUACAUAUGCUUGACUCAUAUGUUGAAGAUCUUUUCAGUUAUAUGAAAAAUCAAUUAAAAAAGAGGAGAAAUGACUUCAUUUGCUUUUGUUACAAAUCACUCGUGCUUCAUUUGCUAUUUUCUCCUGCGUACCAAGUCCUAACAUUUGAAGAGUUAUUUUUUCCAACCAGGACAGGAACGAAAUCUGUGAGCAUCUAUAUUUGGCAGUAGAAGAGUAGUAUAUGAAAAUUGGCAAAGAAUGUUGCACGUCAAUAAUUGAGUAACCAUGAUAUGUAACCACCAAAGAAUGUAACCGGCAAUUGAGUAAUGAAUAUAAUUCCUUCCUGAUGAAUGCCAGAGGCAUGAUAUGUUCAAUGCGUUUCGACUUCUCUACAUAUGCGAACCCAGUAUAUAUAUGUCAGACGGCAAGUCCGACAAGCUCUCGUGGUUUACUCCUGUACAUAGCUUUCAACCUGCAACUGCUAGCUACUUAUUGAAUGUUUAAUACAGGAGUAACGAUAAUAUAUAUAACUCCAAGCCAAAAUAACUACAAAUGAAACAGUUCCAAUUCAUUCCACCGGGAAAAAGACAACUCAACAUCGACAAGAGUAUGCAAACUAAAUAAUACAUAUUGGCAGUACAUAGAAAAUCAAUUGCAGUAGCCAAAUUGCAGUAGCCAAUUUGCUUUGGUACCAAAAGUCCCAAUACAAAUCUUUUUUCAAUGUCCAGAAGAGUCAAAUGAAUAGCGCAAUUUCAUUCCAAUCUAUCAGUCGAAAGUAAGCUAAGCCGAAGGGACACAAGCAAGGCCAAGUGAAGUCUACUUUCCAUCGGGUCCCUUAGGAGGGGGUUUCUGUAGAGUCUGCAACCAAAACUCCUGCAUCUCGCGACUAAGACUCAGGAAAGUCUUCCGCCACUUGUCGUCUUGGAGUGCCAAAACUGCAGCGAGCUUCACCUCUUUGUCCAGUUCUUUGAACGAUUCCACAACCUGGGCUCCCAUUUCCGGUCCAAAUUUAUCCUUUUCAGAUUCUCGGCGACUCCUGAUAUGCAGCUUAGAAUUCGCUAGGGUGGAUAGUGAGUUGGCACACUCCACGAAUGGAUCAGACGAAGUUCUACUUGACUUGCUUCCCCGGGAUGCACUCGGGCCCGAGCUCGUUAUCCCCUGGCUGCUUGAACCUCGCUUCACUCCAGCAAUUGGAGUAUCUUCAUCGAAACCAGUCCCCUGCCCGGCAUUGUAGAUUUCAUCUCCCAGGGGCGAUGAGAAAACCUGCCCAGAACUUUGGCCAGCUCGUUUGCGUGGAUUGUAAAUUGAAGGCGGUACUGAAGAUGCCUGCGCUUGACUCCCUGUGGCGGUUUCUGCUUCAAAGACCUCGUGCAGGAUUGCGUAUUUGUCGACACAUUGGCCGGAUCUAAAGUAUCCAUAAUCCUUAUUCUCCUGAAUCAAAGACAAAACAAGGACUGAGAAACAAGAGUAUGCAAAUCUGAUGUAAACUGGUUUUUUAUAAUUGAGAGGACAACAAGUACAUUUGAAGAGUAGUAUAUGUUCCCUUAAUCAACAUAUAGAUACCAGGCAAGAGUAGUAUAUGUUCCCUUAAUCAAAAUAUAUCAUGAACAGGUAACCGAAUAGUGAAUGAUGGCAAAAAGAUAAGGCCAAAGUUUUUAGUUCUGCUUUGGAACUGAAUUUUACGUCGAAAUUAAAAAAUACCAGGCACAAAUUGUUCCAUUGAGAGGGUUCUCCCAAGAAGCACCUCCUAUUCUCGUCCCAACCAAUACCAGUUUCGGAAGUUUGUCGCAGACCCUUUAACUUGGCAAAGCAGCGCCAAAUCUUCUUCAACCGUGCCAGUUUAGAAUGGUACACUGUCCAUGCAUAUUGCUUCCCCCAGGCGGCAUUCAAGUGCGCAGCAAGCUUCAUCCAAUUGGCCUCUGAUGCAACGUUUGGAUUCCACUCCCCACUCCUUUUCCACUCGACGAAUGUCAUACAGAAAUGAAUCUCCAUAUUUUCAUCCCAAUGGGCCUUUGCCGUGGUGUGGUCUCGUGGCAUCUGAAACAAGGAAACCAAACGGAUUGCUAAGCAUUAAUAACAAUCUGGUUGAAGGAAGAACAAUUGACAGAUUACAAGAUCAUGGCAAUUCAUUGUACGGCUAAAAUCCUAUUUAUCAAAGCCACUGCAGCAAAGCAAGUGCAAAGCUUGGAUCCACGAAUUUCAAUGCCCACCGAAUCAGAAAUACGAUUUAUCCAGUGACACGAGCUCUAUAAAUUUAAACCCAUUAUAAUUCAUAGACAUGUUUUAAAUAUGGGACAAAGUGAUAAGAAUAUUAAGGCUUAAAAGAGCUCGUGUACAAGUACUCAUACAAACUAUAUUAUACGGUAAAAAUAAUAGAGAUCAUGGUCGUAUACACCAAAUAGCAAAUACUUAUCCAUGGACUCGGGAAUGGUUCGAGAUACAAUCUGGUCUGCCUAAGAAUAUAAGAGCGCAGGUAAUUAGCUUUUACUACUCAAAAUUUUUUAUUUGGGAUUGAUGAAUGGACUGAUUUGAGAACAGAGGCCAGUUAACUUGGAUAGAGUCCAAACUUACUCUGAAAUAGUUGACGAGGGACUGGAUGUAGUCGUUCGAGUCUGUGGCAGAGUGGACGGAUGAAGGUUCAGAAAGACGGGGUGGAGUAGUAGGGCCGGACAGUGAUCUCCUCCGCUUGCUGGGCAUUUACUGGUGCUCUACUUCGGCCAAAAGGUCAUGGCACGCACGGACCUCGGACUAGAUCAUAAACCACCUGAGGAAUAUUUAUUGCAGCAGGCAGAUAUGCUCACUGGUACAUGUGGAGGUAAUAUCCGAGAAUGAGCAAUUAUUAUAAAGAAAGGAUGGGGAACUACUACUGGGUUAUAAAAUAUUUCCCUAUGCAUCCAUUCGAUAUUUUGGAUCAGUUGGGAAACCAUUUUGUCGCUUUGUAAGCUGAUGAAUAUGGCCGGCAAUAGAAGGCAAAGUCUUCAAAACGUUAAAAGGAUAUAGUCGAGUUUUCUAUAAAAUUUAUACAAGAUCAUUCUAUUUAUAAGCCUUUGGAUCUUUUAAGAAACAAAUUAUGCUACAAAUUGCCAGAUAACUACAUGGAUUUAGGGUUUCUCGUCCAUGUUUUUUAUUUUUCUGAUCAUAGUCCCCUUAUUUGCUCAAUUAGCUAAUUAAUUGCCGGAUGGUAAUCUAUGACUAGAAUUGGUUGGAUACUUUUCUGUAUACAGAAUUGAUCCCUUAGAAUUAUAUUUAAUGAUGUAAGUUAUUGAUCCCUUAGCAUGUUUUAGGAGUGCUAAUCAAUAAUAUUCUAAGCCAGGGCAAGAGUAGUAUAUUCUUAAUGCAGACAUUAAUUGAAAAGAGGAGCUCCUUUUAUUCAUUGAAAAGGUUGUACCAGCAGCUUCAACCAAAAAGUAACGAGCAUGGCCGAACCUCCUCUGCGUCAUUGGUACUUCUAAGUGAUCGGGGAUUUAAUUUUAAAAUAUGAAAUUUUAACAUGAUUAGUAGAUCCAAUAUAUUCAUCUCAAUUAUAUAAAGGAAACCUAUUUGACAACAUAUAUGAAAUCAGAAGAGCAUAAUUUUGUAAACUAUUAGUACGGAUACCAGCAAUAGCACCAACAUUUUCAGCAUUUUGAAAAUCUAGUGAAUGGCCUGAUCAAAACAUUAGAAAAAAGGGCCGACUGAUUAAGAAGAAAACUGAAUUGGGAUUGGCUUCCAAAUUACACGUAAUCUGUGAAUAUUAGGGAAUGUAGAUAUAUAUGCGUAAACCAAAAAGGAUUUUGAAGGGCGGGUGAAUAUAUAUUGGGCAAACGAGGGAGGGGCUUUGGGUAUAUGUGACCUACAAAAUACACACUUAAGAAUCCCGGCCAAAUCAUGAAAUUGAGUAGUUAAACCAUAUUACCAAUCUCAGACAGGAAAUGAUAAUAUCAAAAUUAUACCUGCCAAAUCUGAUUUUAACUUGGAUAGAGAAGUCUGGCCUUCCGAUUUUCCGCAAAAGAUUUCUGGAUUUCUGAUUUCUGUGUUCGGUAUUGACAACGCCGUCUGCUCCUAUGGCUUGCCAAAACCCAGACGAUCUCCUUCUUCGUUCAGACCCUUUAGAACAAACCAAGCGCUUAAUCAACCCACUUUCACAGCCAACCGAUUUCUGCAAAUCUUCCUCUUCGGUACUUGGUCGCACAAGCAAGUUAGGCAAUUUAAGAUUUUGGGGUGAAAUGAUUCUGCAGGAGGACAGAGCUGCAUAGAGUUGUUUUGGGGGAGAAAAGAGUUAAACGAAGGUUUUGCAGGUCGUUUUGUUACAAAGACCAACGGACGGAUCACGGGCCAGACAAAGCAUGGGUGUCUGGCCCUAGAUGGGACAUUAAAUUCGUUUAUCUGGCACUUCACGUGAACAAGUAGAAUUUCUCUUCCUUUUAUGGCUUUUGUGGGGUCAACCAUCGCGGCUAACCAAAACUUGUAGUCCGACGUGUCCAAACAAGAAUUUCAAAAAUUAACUUGCUGUAGUAAACUCCGCAAAGCAAAAGUACUGUCCAAACAAGUCCAUUCUCAACACUUCCCUGUUGAAUUGUUGACAGCUGGACUUUGAUAUCAGUAGUACUUAUCUUGUGAGAAGAACUGUUUUUUGUUAUUAUUUUCUAGAGUUCUCGCAAAGAAUAUAUCCGUAGAAAAUGUAAAAAAAAAUUUAUUAAAAAAUCAAUUCGUAGAAAAGACAUAAUUUUUUUGAAGAAAUAUGGCAAUCAUAACAAGGAUUACUUUGGUAAAUAGUAAAAUUUUAUUAAAAAAUCAAUUCUUAGAAAAGACAUAAUUUUUUUGAAGAAAUAUGGCAAUCCGAACAAGGAUUACUUUGGUAAAUAGUAAAUAAUUGAUUUGUUUGGACAGAUUAUUAUUUUAAAAAAUAUUUUCAAUUACAUCUUAAACAGUUGACAUAAACAUGUUGUUGGUAUAUUUAUGUUCAUUAAUAUAAUCUCCUUGAUUUUUUUAUUUGUGUGAAUAAAUAAAAUAGUUAAAAGUUUUAAUUUCAGUUACAAUCUCAUAACAAAAUAGCGAUUGAAAUGCAAUAUAGAUAGCAAGUUUGAGUAGGGAUAUCGGGUACAUCUAUGUUUAUUAGUAUAAUCUCCUUGAUUUUUUUAAUAUAUGUGAAUAAAUAGAUACUAAAAAUCUUUAAUUUCAAUUACAAUCUCAUAACAAAAUAGUGGUUGAAAUACAAUAAUAGAUAGCAAGAUGGAGUAGGAAUUGUUGUGUGAUUGAUGUUAUAGAUAAUUAUUUUAAAAAAAUUGAUAAAUAAUUAUUAUUCAAAAAUAUUUUUAAAUUCAUUAUAUCGGGUACAUCUAUGUUUAUUAGUAUAAUCUCCUUGAUUUUUUUAAUAUGUGUGAAUAAAUAGAUACUAAAAAUCUUUAAUUUCAAUUACAAUCUCAUAACAAAAUAGUGGUUGAAAUACAAUAAUAGAUAGCAAGAUGGAGUAGGGAUUGUUGCGUGAUUGAUGUUAUAGAUAAUUAUUUAAAAAAAAUGAUAAAUAAUUAUUAUUCAAAAAAUAUUUUUAAAUUCAUUAUAAAUACUCGUACUUUACAUCAUAAAUAUGUUGGUAUAUCUAUGUUUGUUUAAUAUAAUCUCGUUGAUUUUUUUUAAUAUACAAAAUACUCAAAAGUUUUAAUUUCAACUAUAAUCUCAUGAUGAAAUAGGUGUUGAAAUGCAAUAAUAGAUAGUAUAUUAUUUGUCAAAAUUUAUUUAUUUAUAUUAUUAAUAUAUUUUUUAAUUACUCUUUAUCUCACAUACAUUAUAAAAAUGCUACAUUAUUUUUUCAAAAAAAUUAUUUCAAAUAAUCUAUUAUUCAAACACAGGCGGCAUACAGAUAUUGUUGGCUAAUUGACGUGGUAGAUAAGUAUUAGACAAAAACAUUAAUAAGCAAUUGAGUGCUAAUUAUAUUUUUCGAUUGGACAAAAAUGUGAAUUUGGAGACCUUUCUUUUUCUUUUUUUUAAAAAAAAAAUGGACUGAGUGAGAAAGUCAAAUGGUCUAAGGGUCUGUUUGGUUGGCAGUAAAAUGUUUUUCUUGGAAAAAUAUUUUCCGUGGAAGUAAUUUUUCAUGAAAAUCAUUUCUCUUUCAUUAUUUUCAGAUGUUUGGUUAGUUUAUUGAAAAUAUUUUCUUACUUCAUUUUUCUGGUGUUUGUUUAACUUUUGAAAUAUUUUCACUUUUAUCUCUAUCUUUAUUUUCUACACAUUAUAACUACAUACUUCUUCUCAUGCAAAAUAAGAAAAUUUAUCUCAUUAUUUAACUUUAAAAAAUCUUGGAGAAAUGUAUAUAUGAAUAAAAAAUAUCUCCUUAAGCAAUAAACAAAUUGCUAGCCAUUUAGUGUUAAAUAUCAAUCACAUGCAAUGCUUAUUGUGACAUAUAUCUUGCACUCUCACUGCUGAAAGUUUCUCUAGAAAAGAAUGUCCCUAUUAUACAUAAUUAAUUACUAGCAUAGGAUGAGUAGGAUGAGGUUUUUUUUUUUAUUAUUUUGAAUAUACUAGGGGGAGAGUUGGGUUGGGUUGGGUGGUACGGGGGAGGGAGUGUAAGGAAGAGAUCUUGAGUUCGAAUCCUUCUGUUUAUACUAAAAAAAAAAAGAACAUACUACAAGAUAUUUUCAGUAAGUUUGGAACAUGCUACAGGCGGGAUGCAUGCAUUUUGGAAAACAACUUCAGUAAGUUUGGAAGGGAAGUUGUUUUCCAUAAGAUGAGUGAAAAUAUUUUACAUAGGAAAAUGUUUUCAGUAACUUUUGUGCAACCAAACACGGGAAAUUAGGAAAAUAUUUUCCUGAAAAACAUUUUCACCCGAAACAAACGGACCCUAAAUGAAGCAUAAGAAGACUCCAGAUUUCUGUGAAGUUGAUAUUGGGCUGGAGUACUCCAGAAAAUUCCAGACUCCUCUGAUGUCUCAUUAGGCCCAUCUUGAAAAUGAACUCCAUCAUUGCCCAGUUGGGCUGACAAUAUGCACCAUGUUCCUGUAAACUUCUACGAGACCGGGCUUCAGCCUUUAAUGUUUAAGCUUUGUAAUCAUUCUUCAGUUUCUAGGAGAUUGGGCUUGGCAGCUGAUUUGUGGGCACUUUGCCAUGGCAUCUGAAGUUUUGACAUGCUAGAGUCGAGUCGAAUUCUCAAGUGGAUAUUCAACUUGUAAAUCAGAUCAUGGGUGUGGAAAUUGGGAACUUGUCACCAGAUUUUAUGGAUGUUUCCUUCCUUCAUUGUGCUACUAUUACGUAACUGGCAAUUAGGUCUCCGAUUGACCCAAAAAAAAAAGACUUGGGUAUUUAAUAUUUUUGCUUCUUUGUAAUUCUUUUUGGUACAAAGUGUCAUCAUAAAUUUAUGACCUUUAUGGUCGAUAUGUGAGAUUUUUUUUUUUUUUUUUGGAGAUUGUCUCACAUUAAUAAGCUAUAAAAUCACUAGUUCUUUUCACUUAAAAUAAUCUUGUGUAUACAAAACUAAAAAAUGAUUCAAUACCCUUGUUUAAGUGAAUUAUGAACUAUACAUAUAAUCACAACUUUCUGAAAACUCAGCAGAUCAUUGUACAUGCAUUAUACACUCCGGAUCCAUUUUAACAUGAACUCCCAAUCUCCUGUCAUGUGAUUUUCCUUUCUCCCGCAAUGAAACAAUUUUGUUGAUAUAAUUGACUAGAACUUCGACUCAAUUAAAUUGUUUAACCCCCACAACUUUUCCUCUCCAAGUAUAUAUGGACUAAGUACUAACUUCAUGGAUUCCUAUUGGAUUAUCUUAAAAAAUAGAAUAAUAUUGGACGAUAUUGAAUUGGAUGAUAAACUUCGGUCAAUAUAUCCCAUAGAGAUAAUUGCUAUAGAAUUGGAAACCUUUUUUUUUUUAAGGGUGUCGCGCAGGGAAUGGACCCUGCAGACUAUUCCCUACCCUCUACAACUUGCUGGCAGCAAGGUUCGAACUAGGGAUCUAAGGUUCCAUUUUCAGCAACCUCAACCACCAAACCAAGCUCCAGAGAGCUUAUAGAAUUGGAAACCUACCUAAUUUCUUAUUGAAAAAACUAUGAUGGUUUAAAAAAAAACACUUACUAGUACCAACAAAAGCAAGAUCAUAAAUCAGUAGUGCAUUACAUAGAUGUUAUACUCAACAGUAGCUUCACCAGUCUUGAGAUUAAAGGAAUGAGUUCUAGCCUGAGCAUAGCCCCGAGCAAACCGGAGAAGCCCACUUCCCCCGAUCACCGGCAUCUCCCUAACCUUGUGGAACACCGGAUUCCUCCCUAGCAAGGUGAUAGUGCUUCCAUUAUACUUCCCUUCAACAAAAACAAAAUUCAUUAUCAUCAACAGAGCCAACUCCGCUUGUGAAGCUGAUGCAUAGCACCCUUGUGCUCUUGCAACUAGUUUGGAGCUCAGCUCAGAUUCUAUGGUCACUGGAUUAUCGAUCACGUUAACAAAGCCAAACCCAUUACGGAAUUUUGGUAGUGGCUUCACUACUGUGACUGAAGUGGGGUGCAUACCAGUGCCAAUAUCAUGCCAGAAGAAUCUAAAAUGGCUUAGCUUUUCUGCUCUUAGUUCGAGUGCUUCUUUGUUAAUUUCUUUGACAAACUCAUGCUUUUGCUUACAGGUGACAUGAAUAGGCAUGAAGAAAAUGAGGAUGGCAAUGGUGGAGAUGUUGAAGGCUGAGAUAGUACUGGCCAUUGAGAAAUUAUGCACUGGAAACUUAGUUUCUAACUAAUCAGGAAAUGUAGAUGAAGGCAAUAUGUGGAGGGGGCUGUCUAUAUAUCUGGAGAAUUGGUAGAAGCAAUUCUUUAAGCCGCCAUCUGCCUAAAGAAGGCAAGCCGACGCAUGCAAGCGUGGUUUUGCUUUCUUUUUUCAAGGAGGAUCAACAGUAAUUUUUCACUUACCUUUUUGAUGAUUCGAAUCCGUGAUCUGUCAGUUAUAGGUGAAUCAUGGUUUUGUUUUGGAUACUGUGAAGUGAAUAUAUGCUCUCUUUUUUCUCUUUUUUAUUCUGGGAAAGGUGUAAGUGCAUUUAGUUAUGUACAUUAAAGGUAAAUUCUCAAGUAGCUUCUACUGUUAAUUAAAAAUUAGGUGUAUUCUCUCUUUCUUUUUUCCCUGAUUAGGGGUUUUGUCUGGUGUAUGUUAGACCUGUAUGAAGCUAUAUUGUGGUUUGGAGUAUAUUUCACUUUUAUAAUAGAACUACAUAGAGAAGUGAUAUCUCAUUUGAACUUUCAAAAGUAUAGCAUAUUCAUUUGUUUAUUUAUUGGACACUUAAAUGGUAUUUAGAAACUAAAAAUGGUGUGAAUUAUAAUUGGAAUAAUCAACAUUGGGACCAUGCAUCAAGACUCAUCUUUUUAACUUGUACAGAUUAAACAGAUAGUGGUUGAAAAUCCACUUUUUUCUUAACAAAUUUUAUUUCAAUACUUAUUAAGACAGAAUACCAACUUGGAAUUUAUAGAAUGACCUCAAAAGCUAACAUAAAGACAAUUGGUCAUCAUUGUAAAUCAGGUGUGCAUCACAAAUCUCCCAUUUCAAAGCAUCUUGUACACAUGAGGCAACUACAUCAAAAUUCAUCACCGACUAUUCUACUUUCAAUAAGGUAAAUCUUGAGACUCAAGGGAUGAAAACAAUCAAUUGGAGGUGAUAAUACUUGAGGCACCUUUUCAAAUUUUCUUCCUUGGCUGCUGCUUAAACCGUCCACCUACAAGCUAGACAAAUUAAUCAUGACUGAGUGAGUGGGAAGGAUGUGUUAGCAGGAAAAUGGGUUCUGCAUAACAUGAUGGUUAGAUAUCCUUUUUUCCACUUUUCCAGAGGAAAAAUUAUAGUGGGAUAAAUCACAUAUGAGUCAAGGAUUUUGUUAUCAUGUGUAUGAUGCAUCUGAAAGUCACGCUCACUAGCUACUAGUAUAUAAAAUUUAAGCAAGCACUAAAUUCCCCAUGCUUUAGAAUAAAUUAUUAAAAAAGUUAUGCUUUUUUUUUGGGUUGGAAAUAAUUUACUCGACUUGCCUUUGAGUGAAAGUUUUCCCCUUGAAUUGCUAUUUUCUGAAUUUUUUUUAUAAAGAAAUAUAUUUUAGCGAUUUAAUAUUUGUGUGAUAAAAAAAUAAUUGAGAUAUAUGUUCACGAAAAAAAUCAAAAUUUUUUGGAGAAAAAUUACUUUUCCAACAAGGAAAGUAAUCGUGGCACACGACUGCUCAGAGCUUAUUGUGCUAGCUGAAUUUACCAUUUAUGUUAGAAGAUUCAUGGCUCAGGGAUGAAGGUAUGAGGCGCAAUUUCCUGCAUAGUCCUUAUUUUUUUUAAAAGCAAAAGAAAAUGAAAGAAGUGGGAAACAUUUUAUUUUCUAUUCACUAAUUUUUUUCUACUAUAGUUAUAGGAAACAUGUUAAAGGAAAAUUAUAUUUUAAUACUAACAAAGGUAUUCCGAUGUCCUUUAAAAAUAAAUAACAAAAAAGUGGCAAGUGGAAUCCACUCUGUGCCAUCACCUUCAUUUUUUUUACAUUUAGAAAGUCCAUGAAGAAUCUUAUUUGAAAAACUAAGAGGCCAAAGAAAAGCAUUGCUAAAAAGGAAACGCAGACGAAGAGCUUGAAACAUCAAGAAAUUUUUUUUUUUUUUGGUCUCUGAAACAUCCAAGAUUCAAGAGCUGAAAUUGUAGCUUGUAUUAGACAACGAUUUAGCAAUAGCUAGAUCUCUUGUCGGCAAGUACAUUGGCAAUAGUAGGGUAAAUCUUUUAGUAUACCUUAACAGUGUGUACACUAACGAAUCUAGAUACGUCUACAUAUGUAAAAUUUAAAAUUCAACUCCAAAUAUUUGUUGUGUUUGGAUAGCAAAUUAUUUAUAUAAAAUUAUUUGUUUGAAUCAUAAAUACAUUUUUUAAUUACCUUUUUAUUUCAUAUAUAUUACAUCAAAAAGUGUUACAAUAUUUUUAAAAAAAAUUAUCCCAAAUGAUCUCUUAUCCAAACACACUAGACAAAGCAAGUUCCGUCGUGUAUGGACAGCUCCACCAUGUUGCUUUGGCAAUCACCCCUCCUAUUUUUGCCUUUUUGGUAGAGCAGUUCCAGAAAGUUGCUUUUGUGCAGCAAUUUUGCUGCAAAAUAAUCUGCUGUGGCGGGGGAGAAACAAGUUCCACGAAAUCAGAAAACUUACAUUCAAAGCCUCAACAAACUGUCCUGCACUUCACAGAAACAACAAUAGACUCAGUAAUUACAUGGGAUUCAAACUCAUUCAUUACAUGGUGACUGUGUACGUAGUUUAUUUAUGUAUUAGGCUGUGCAAGACUGAAAGUCGUAGUUCAAGUUGGCUAACACAUCUCCUUAUGUCCAAGUUUCUUUUUUACUAAGUUUUGCAGAGUAGUUUAACCGAUUGUAUGCCUAUUUAUAUAUGUGAAUCACUACAAGUUAUAUCAGAGAAGUAUGAGAUCUACUUCGGAAAACUGACAGAUUCAAGCUAGAUUAGAUUUCUAAUUUUGAUAAAAUGGAAUUCGGUAAAAUUGAAAUAUAUUCAAUUUUAAUAUUUGAUCAAAUGGGUUGAAAAUGGAUGUUAAAAAUACAUUACCGAAUUACCUUUUACUGGUUGAAUUAGUAAAUACUAAUAAUUAUUAAAGACUAAUUAGUAAAUAAUAACUAAUAAUUACUUGACUACUAACCGGUGACUAGGCACGUUAAUAAGCAGGGUUUGAGUUGGAUUUCUGAGAUUCAAAUUCAAACUCAUUAAAUUUAGUUAGACCCAAACCCUUAUAGGUCUGAAAAAGUAAACCCAGAUUUGGAUCUUCACAGAUUGGAUAUUCGUGGAUACCUUUUUGAACAUACAGUGAAUAACCAAAGUGAAAUAUUAUGAAAAUAUAUAGAGUCCAAAAAUAACAUAAAUAUCAUCCAAUUUUUAUUUUUAAAUAAUAAAAUUAACAUUGAUGAUGUUGAAUACAAUAUUAUAUUAACUAAAACUAUUUAUUUUUAAAGUUUCAUCUGUAUCUAUUUUCAAUCUUUCAUUUGUUUACUUUUAUUUUUUCUCUUCUUCCUAAAAAUGUUUGUACUAAUUACAAUGACAUAGAAUAUUAGAUUAUUUUAUUAGUUUGUUGACACACACACACAGAGAAAAUAUUACAUGGGUCUAGGUAGGGUCUGAUUUGGAUCUGAAUCAUAAAAAAUCAGACCCUACUCAGACCCAUGACUCUCUUGAGGAUCUGGGGCUGGGUUUAAUAAAUUAAAUCUAAACCCUACCCAAGUGUACUAGAUCUAGAUAAAAGUCAACUCAUUGACAUGCCUAUUAGUGACUACAUAUUACUACUAACAAACUUAUUGAUUAGAGAAAGUGAUAGUUGCAGUCCCAAAUUAGCCUAUUGCACUGUUUGGAGGUAUAAUAUUUAGUGAGUGGAUUGGAGUGCAACAGACUAAAAAGGAUGUGCAAAUAUCAAUUCCCUAAUUUAGUUAGCUAUUGACUAUUGAGUGCCAACUACUAACUAUUCGAUAUUUGAGUAUUAGUUUACUGCAUUACGGAAUUGGUUGGAGUUUGGACACUAGAAAUAGAUUAUUGGCAUUUCGGAUAUUUUCGAAUUAUCGAUUCUCAGGUUGAAAUCCAAUUACUAAUAUCCAAUUUACCAAACUAAAGUUGGGACAGUAAUCAGGUAUUGGUCUUGACAAACCGAUUAUGAAUUUUCAAAACUUUUUUCAAUGAAUUUUUUAUUGCUAGCUGAUGAACACUCGUAGUUCCACUCGAGAGAGAGAGAGAGAGACGAGUAUGUAAUUUAUUUCAGAUCUGGCUUAAGAUAAAACACUUUUUCGGUGUUUUAAUUUAUUCAAAUCUGGUUUGGGAUUAUUUUAUUGAGAUUUUUAUUACUUGGUUAUGUAAUUAGUCUUGCGCGGAAUUGGUCCUAUUAGAAAUUACAGUGGUAAAUUAGUAAAUUAGAGUUAUAUUUUAACUCAUUCGGGUGACCUGCCAACUCGAAAAUUUUGGGUUCAAGUCGAGUAUCCUAACCUAUUGCUAGUCGGCAAGUAGUAUUCGGGUCAGUAGGUUUUCUAUUGUAUCUGGGUCUCAACCCGACCCGUCACUCCGUUACUGACCUGAUUGCUACACCUACUACUCACUCACAUUCUUCUCUAUCUUCUCAAUUAUUUUCAUGAUUUACUAAAUUGGUUUUGGCUUUAAUAAUUUCUUGUAUACUGAUUCUGCAUGCUCUUAUAUUUUUCCAUUUUUGAAAAUUCACUCAAAAGGUUCUUUUUUCAAACGCAAUGUAAUUUAAGUCAAAGUAAAUAAUAGCUUAACAUGCAAAUAAUUUCAAAAAAUAGCCUUACUUUACCCUUCAAUAUUCAUCAUGGGACAUAUAAUGUAAUGUAUUUUAAAUUUACUUUCAUCUAAUUGUUACAGAAUAUGACUAUUUGAUAGAAAUCAACUCUUACAUGAUAAAUAUGAAUACUUGAUAAAAGAAAAAAGUCAAGAUUUACAUGACAAUUAUGAAAGAGAAAAAGAAGAAAAAGUACUAAUAAUAUUAGUUGUUUAGAGGCAUAAUAAACAAGUAGAAUUUAAAGAAAAAAAUUCAAUUUUUAUUAAUUUUUUUAUAGUCUAAGCAGAAAAUUCAUGCUAAAGUGUUGAGUUACAAUGACAUGAUAAUAAUUAUUAUUAUUUUAAGCUAAAAUUUGUUGGAGUUAAAUGAAGUUCUAUUUACAAAAAAAACUAAAUGAAUAAAUAAAAGUUUUAGUAUUGAAUAAAAAAGCAAGAGUGCAUAGAACUAAAAAGAUGCAAGAAAAGAUUACGACAAAAACUACAUCAUUUAAUUAUAAAAUAAUAGAUCUAUUAGUGUGUGAGUGAGAGAGAGAAAUGAGAAUAAUAAAAAGAAGAGUGAGAGAUAGUAACCAAAAAUAUUUAAUUAGAGAGAGAAAAAGCAAUAAUUAAUGCGUAAUGGAUUUUAGGAAAAUCAAUGAACAUAUAUAAAGUUGAUGCACUCUAAUCGGAAGAUAAUUGCUCUGGCAAUAUUGCUUGUCUUUUCAAUUUACUUGUGGUUAUGCUCUGGCUAAAACUUAUACCCUUUACAUUUCACUCAUCACGUAUUAAAGAGAAAAGGGCAAAAAAAAUUCAGUACCUGGAGUUUUGACAUUUAACAAAUUGGCACGUCUCAUUCCGCAUCAAAUCCUUCGUCGCACUUCGGUCGCUACACGGUCCCAACAAUCCAUGUAGGAUCCAUCACAUUGCCAAUAAUAAUCCACAUAAGAAUAGAAUUCUUUCUAUUUUAUAAUUUCUAUAUUAGCUAAAAAAGUAUGUGGCUCGGUUCCUGAUAAUGACGGACCUUUCGAUUGCCAUCUUUCUGCUAUUCAAAUUGUUUCUUGUUCUUUACUCUCAGAGAACUAGAGAAUAAAACCAGGGGAGCAUUUUUUUUUUUUUUCUUAUGAAAAAUCACCUAGCGGCUGAGGAGGGAGAAGGAAUAAGGUUUAAAUUGACGGAAUUCAUUCAAAGUUCUGGUUUAAAGAAUCAAGAUCAUAUGGAACUUAAGCACUAAGUUUCUAACCACUGAGCUACCACCACCAAAGUUGGUGGGUGGGAGGUCAGGGGAUCAAACCCUGCCUCCCACCAUUGGCCACAAAAAUGUGGCAAGCCACUUUGAGUGGCUUCUAGACGAGUGCGUCGUGCACUGGUUUGGGACGGUAGGUGAUUCAGUCCCCUCUAGUUUCUUCCGACUUGUUUAGGUCCUCCCCUCCCCGUAGUAUAAAAAUACAAAAAUUGUAAGUCUAUCGUAUCGAAAAAAAAAAUUAAGCACUAAGUUUCUAGGUAUGUAAAACAGUUUUUCCUCCUUUGCCUUUAGCGCUACACCAAAAUAUCCUAUCUAUCAUGUUAUCACUGUCAUCUUUGUGCUCUUUACUUAAUUUAAUGCCAAAACCAACCUAUUUUGCAUGCCAAAUAAAACUCAUAAGCUAUUUCUUCAGUUUCGAAUUCCAUACCAACUUCUGGUAUUAAUGCCUUAGAAAUAGAUGAGUGUAUUUCGUUCAAAUCUUUGCCCAUGUGCAAAUUUGUAAAAUCAGAAAAGCUAUCUUUUUGUUGUCUAUGUUCAAUUUUCAGAAUUCAAUUAUUCCUCACAAGCAUCUUCAAAAUCUCAACCACGAUAUGGUGAAGUUCCACUUCACAUGAAAUUGUUAGUACUUGGUCAUUAAUAUAUGACCAAAAGUCAAAUUUGUUAGUACUUUCAACGAAGAAAUCAGAAUUAAAUCACUAAUCCUUAAUCCCAGGUAAACCUCAAAAGCCGGUAACUCUUGAGGCUACCCAAGAAACUAAUAAUCUAACCCCGAACCUCCCCAAUGAUCGAUGUGGGAUUUUUGGAAAGGCCAGUAAGGCCACUGCUACUAAAGGUGUACUAACCUCCAUGACACUCAGAAACCUCUCCAUCAGUGGCGGAGCCAGAAAAAAUUUUUAGUGGGGGCAAAAAUAACACUAAAAUUUUUUACCUACUCUUUUUCUAAUUUUUAAAGCAAAAAAAAAAUUCACCAACAAGUACAAAUGAUGCAUAUAUUCCAUGAAAAACAUAAAAAGACAAAUUCAAAAUUAUUAAUAUAAUAAUAAUUUUAUUUAAAAAACAAACUAAACUAUUUACAAUUGCUUACUGCGAGUCUUUAUAUUUUGAUAACUAACUUGAUUGUGGAAGUAAGAAUGGCUCUCGGUUGUGGAGGGAAAAUGGGGGACCAGUGGAGGGAAGGGAAAUUGGGAAGUGGGGACAAAGGAAGUGAAUGAUAUGAUUGGAUGAAUUGAUCAAGAGAAAGAAUAGCUAGCUGCUUGGUUGUGGAAAGCAGUGGCUCUCAGUUGUGGGGGAAAAAUGGAGGACCAGAAGAGGGAAGGGAAAUUGAAGAGUGGGGCCCAAAGAAAGUGAAUGAUAUAAUUGGUACUUGCUAGUUAAAAUGAAAAGAUUUUUUUUUUAUCUUAUUUCAAAUGAAAUUUGUGCCCCACGUAUCUUUUUAGAAUUUAGUUUAUGAACUAACUUAAAAAAUUACUCUCUCCGUCCCACUUUGAUAGUCCUGUUUUCCUUUUUCGUCUGUCCCAAAUUGUAGUCCACUUUCCAAUUGAAGAAUGUAGUUGUAUUUUAAUUUUUCUAAAAUACCCUUAUUCAAUGUAAAUUGUUGUUACUAUAAACCUACUCCAUUUAAUGAGAGUUUAUUCUUUUUUUACCAUCAAUUCAAGUUCCCAUAAAGUUGUACUCUAAUUAAUGUGAGGGUAUUUUAGAAAAAUAGCUACCUAAAUUGAUUGUUCCAACAAAAUUAACUACUUUUUCUUAAACUGUGUGAAAAAAGAAUCAGGACUAUCAAAGUGGGACAGAGGGAGUACGUAAUUUUUUCUCAUCCUUUCUAAGAAAACUCUGGGGGCACAUUUAAAAUUAUAUCAAAAUUGUAUAAGUAUUAUAGGAAUUUAAGGGGAGCAGUGGGGGCCCGUGCCCCCACCUUAAAUCCGCCGUGCUCUCCAUACUUUCUUUUUCUUUCAACGAAGAAAUUAGAAUUAAAUUACUAACCCUUAAUCUCAGGUAAACCUCAAAAGCCGGCAACUCUUGAGAUCACCCAGGAAACUAAUAAUCUAACCCCAAACCCCCCAAUGAUCGAUGUGGGAUUUUUGGAAAGGCCAGUAAGGCCACUGCUACUAAAGGUGUACUAACCCCAUGACACUCAAAAACCUCUCCAUUUGCUAGUACUUGGUCAAAUUUGUUAGUACUUGGUCGCAUGAAAUUAGUACUGAUAUCCUGCAAUAUAAGAACCAAAAGUCAAAAAUUUGAUUAAUAUAUGAUAUGAUGCUGGUUUUUGCACAGCAUACUUGGUCAUUAAGGUAGUAAAGGAGAAACCAACAUUGAAAAAACGUUUUACUGGAUCAUGCCCAAUAUCUCUGGAUCAUGUGCUAUAGCUACUGUUGCCGUGGAACUACCAGGAAAUUAAUAUAAGAAAGUUAUAUUGGGCUGCAACAAGUAGUACUAGAUUCAACUAACAUGAAUACACAAUGAUAAAUGUUUCGUCCAUAAUAAAUUAAUAAAUAUGAGAUAUAACACGUUUCCAUUUAAUAUUAAAAAUGAUUUAAUUCUUAUUGAAAAGACUAGGUAAAAAGAUUGCUUUUAUUGUUGCUAUAGGAACUACCAGAAAAUUAAUAUAAAAUAAAUUCUAUUGGGCUACAACAAGCACUAUUACAAUUAUGAGAUUCAUAUUUCCAUGAAUACAGAAUGAAUAAAUAUUUCACCCAUAAUAAAUAAUUUGCAAAAAUUUCAUCCACGCAAGAUAAAAAUUCUUUAAUAAAAUAAUAAAUAUGAAUUAUGAAUUAAUUCCAUUUAACAUUAAAAAAUGAUUCAAUUCUUAUUGAAAAGACUAGUUAAAAGAUUGCUUUUACCUCUAAGACAAAAGCUCUUCCAGUUGUUUUGAUAAACAAAAUAUGCUGGUUCCAAGUCCAAUUUUUUUUUUUUUUUUUUUUUGUGAUAUACAACGUUCCUUGCGGUCUUGUGUAUCAUUUGUUCUUCUUUUUUGUGAUAAUGAUGAACUUCUAACUGUGUGCCUGUUUGAAAGUGCUGUAAAUUUGAAUUACAAGAUGCUAAUUAUGCGGGGUUCGAAUUUUCUCUAUUGGUCUCUCUAUUAUUUAAAUCUAAAUUAUUAUAAUUUUAUAAAUGGAUAAUAUCAAAAACAGGUUUCUGACACUUUUAUCUAACACUCCUCUAAUUUCAAACAUUAUACUCAUUGAACAAUUUGAUUUUUCCAAAAAAAGAAUUCUUUAAGGGCAAUUUAGGAUAUUAGUGUGGUUUUUUCUGCACACAUCAGCCAAAUGGAAUCCAAAUCUAUUAUAUAGGAGAGAUAUGUGUAAUUUUUGGAACGUAGAGGGAGUUAGUUGUGAUUUUACAAAUCUCAAGGGAGAUUUCUGAAAUUAUCCCUUUUAUAAAUCAUUGAAUUGUGGGAGGGAAGGAGGGAGAGGGGGAGGAGAGACAGACAAAAAAAAGGGGAGGGUGGUAGCGAUGUCGGUUGAUGGCACCUCCGGUGAUGAUGGGUUGAGGUGGGGAGUAAGAAGAAGGAAAAAAUUGUAUAUUUUUUUGGUAUUUUGGGGUGUGUAUUUUAAAAAUUUUGAGAUGUUCUUAGAAGGGUUUUUACGGACAAAAUUACAAGGAAACUUGUCUAUUAAAAACAGGGCCAAAAAACAAAUUCAAUAUUAAAACUGUCACAUAGAGCCUAGGAUUUGAAAUAAUGCAAAUUCAAUUUUGGUUGUUAAAAAAAAAAAACACAUUAAUCCUUCAAGAUUAAACAAAUGGGAUUCUGUGCAAUAGUACCCAAAGUGGACGAAUACUUGUACCAAUCUGUGGUCUUAUAUUAUCAAAGAACUGAAGAACAAAUAUAACAGAUCACGAUUAAUUAUUUUUCCUUUUAGGUUGGUGUUAAACAUCAUUAUAGUGAGUUGAAUAGAGGUUGUACUCCACCAUUGCAUCAGCAGUGCUUUUGAUUAAACGACUAAGUUUUAGCCUUACAAUAACCGGAAAACCGACUUCCUCCGAUCGGCAGCAUCUCCCUGGCCUCAUUGAAAGUCGGAUUCCACCCAAGCACGGUGAUAGCUCUUCCAUUAUACUUGCCUGCAAGAAAAUCAAACUUCAUGGUCAUCAGGUGAGCUAACUCGUCAUGUGAAGUUGAUGCAUAAAACCCUAGUGCUCUUCCAACCAUCUUGGAACUCAGCUCUAGCCCAUGCCUCAAUGGAUUAUCAAUCAUUAGGAAGCUUAGCUGGUUCUAGUUUUUUUUUUUUUUUGGUGGGGGGUGGGGGGUGGGGGGAGGAGAAGAGGGGCGCUUAACUGGUGAUUUCACUACUCUAGUUGAAGGGUUGGACCGCUCUACUUGUCAUGCCACAAAAACCUAAAAUGACUUGGCUUUUCCUCUCUCAAUCUCAAUGCCUUGUGAUUAAUGGCUUUAACAAACUCGUAUUGACUAUCUUUCCCCUGAGUGAAAAAAAAAUGAUGAGUAGAAAACACAUGGUGGAGAUAAUGGGGAAAUUGUAGGACGCUGAAAUUCUUGCCAUUGUUUUAAUGGCAAAGCGGGUGAGUUGUUGAAAAUUGGUUGUUCGGUUAUAAAUAUGUAUAUUUUUGUUACAUGUUAGUGCAUAUACUAACAUAUUUGAAUGUAUGAAAAUUACUUUCAGUUAUGUCGAAUUUUAAUUUUUGCAUAUAUGACAUCCAUCCAUUGUUGUUAGGGCAGCCACAACGCCCGUGUAAUGGGGAGCCAUUACACCGCUCCCACUACAAGAAAAAAGGUCAUUAGUGACAACAUUUCUUUGUGACGACAAAAAGUCGUCACAAAAUUAGGUUGUUUAGUCACGACUUUGAAGGUUGUCACAAUUGACUCAAAGCAACUAAGUUUUCAGUGACAACUUUUAAUUGUCGUCACAAAACUACUUCGCGCCAUGGGAUUUAGAAGGCGCGAGUUUUGCGAUAGUGACGACUUGAUAAAAGUUGUCAGUAAUUCUACCACUUUCUUUGACAACUUUUCGUUGUUGUCACUGUUUAUGUUUAUUGACGACCAAUUUUUGUCAAUAAAACUAUAGUGUAGUUAGUGACAACAACAAUUGGUCAUCAGUGACAACUUUUAUUUUUGACGAAAAAAAGUUGUCACAAAAGUCUAUCCUUUAUUGACGACUUUCUAUCUCGUCACAAACCUUUAAUGGGAGGCAACUCAUUUGUGACGACUUAGAAAAGUCGUCACUAGUAAAUUCCCGUCAAGAUUUAGCAAGAAGGCGGGAGUGUUUAGAACAUACAAUAGUGACGACAUUAAGAACAUCAUCACUAUUGAAUGGCUUAUUUACGGACGACUUUUUGUUGUCGUUACUGAUCACUAAAAAAGUUAUUAGUGACAACAUUUUUUAGUGAUGACAAUAUUUCGUCACAAAAGGGGAUUCUUUAGUCGCGACACCUAAAGUUGUCACAAUUCCAUCAAAGCAACUAAAUGUUUAUUGACGACAAGUAGAGUUGUCAUAAUUGCUCAAAUAGACAGUGUCUUCAGUGACGACCUUGGAAAAUGUUGUCACUAAAAUGAUUUAUUGAGUGACAACUUCUAAUAUCGUCACUGUCACUCUCUUGAUUCAGAUUUAGUGACAAGAAUUCAUCGUCACUAUUUAAAGUACUUAUUUGUAAGUCACUUUCAUUAAUUCUACUGUGCCACCCUAACUUUUGCGAUUUAGCCCCAAAUGUUAUAAAAAAUUCCAUUAAUUCCAUUAUGAUACCUUAAGUUUUACAAUUUAGCCCCAUAUAUAGUACACCGAUUUUUUUAAUUCUAUUAUUACUCCCUAACUUUUGUAAUUUAGCACCAUAUGUAAUUUACCAAUUUCAUUAAUUCUACUUUGGCACUCUAACUUUUGCAAUUUAACCCCCAUAUGUAAUACACCAAUUUUAUUAUUUCUAUUAUGGCACCCUAACUUUUACAAUUUAGCCCCUAUUUUUUUAUUAGGAAAUUGCGAAUGGUAUCUUGAUAAACUAUGCAUAAAUAUUUUAUAAUUUUCUCAAACUUAAGUAAUAAUUUGUUAUAAACUCUAAAGAUAUAUCUUUCAUUACAAUAGUUAUAAGGCAGACAGGUAUUUUUAUCAAUGGAAUAAGAAAUUUAUGUCAGAUUUAUCCUUUGUACUACAUGCCAAGUAGUAUUAGCAAAAGAAUAACAAAGUACUACAAAGUAAUUAACAAGAUAGCCUUCAGGGAGUGUAGUUUAUGGGCAAAUGAGCAUUAUCUAUUCAAAGUACCAACUUUUUAUGGGCAUUUUACUCUCAAACAUAUAAUUUAUGAUAAAUUUAUAAAGGGAUAAUUUCAGAAACCUCCCCUGAGGUUUCUGACAAUUUCACUGACCUCCCCUGAGGUUUCCACAAUUACACUGACCUCCCCUGGCAGAACUUGGGACCCAAUUGCUGACAUCAUAUAAUGCAAAAUUACUAUUAUACCCAAGACAUUUUGUGUUAUUAUAGGACUAAAAUAUGAUAAGGCAGAUGGUGUUUUGGAUAGUAUUGGAUUGCAUUUCUAUUUAUUUAAUGUAUGGUUAUGAAAUUUGUAAUGAUAUUACUCUUGGAUUGCAGUUUUGGUUUGCACCUUAUUACUGUUAAGGUUUUAUAAAUGACUGUUUUAGUUCUUGGAUUACACCUUACCUCCAAAUUUUGGGAAUUUACCCAAAUUUUCCAUUUUCUAAUAUUCCUACAAAUAUGCAAAAUUAUGCAUAUCCCUCAAAUCUACCCAAUAUUAAUGUUUUGUUAAACUCUAAAUAACAAAAAUAUGAAAUAUAAUAUUUAAAUAUAUUUUAAUACACACAAGUUGGACGGGUAACUAGUGUGUCAGAGAGUUGCCAUAAUCUCCUUAAACCCGCAUGCGGGUUUAAAGAGUAUUCGGAUAUUCUCAUAUGCACCUAUGCAAAUCGAACCAACCGGAUAUCUUAUCCGUAUCCCAUUUUUUUAAAUAAAAAUCUUAUAAAUUUGAAAAAUAAAAUCAAAUUUAGAUGUAUUAGGGUUUUAAAAAUAUUAUAUAAGUGAUAAAAAUUUUAUAAAUUGUAAAAAUAAAAUCAAAUUUAAAUAAUUAAAUGUUAUAUUUGCCUAAGAAAUAAUACAAUAAUCAUAAUAAUGAUAAUACAAUAAUAUUGGUGUAAUAAAACUGCCAUUAAUUUAAAUAUUUAUUUAUAAUGCCCAAAGAGCCUAAUUACCAAUUUUUUUCUUCUCUUUGUGGGUUUCCUUUACAUGAACAAAUAUUUUGCUCUUUAUAGGUAUUUCACUCUGAAUCAUGUAAUUUAUGUUAAAUACAUAAAUGUUUGUAAGUAAAAUUCAAAAAGUGUUGCACUAAUAUUUUUAUGAAAGGGAAACUGGUAGGUUUUGUAUUUAACAUUAAUUAAAUAUGUGAAAGCAAAAAAAAAAAGAAAUUAUAGGGUACAGCAAUUUAAUUAAAAAAAAGAAAUAUUAAAAACUAGCAAUUUAAUUAGUGACGACUUUUCUUGUCAUUAUAAUCUUGAAUAAAUUAGUGAUAACAUUAUGUCAUCACUAAAUUUUCUUUGAUUUUGACUUAACAAUAAUGUCUUAUUAAUAGCAUUUGAUUAUUUUUAAUGAAAGUCUAUUAUAACCAUAGAAUUUGACUUUCGGUAUUUUCAAUUAAUGAUGUACUUUAGAGCUGGAAUUAUAAAAAAUUGCAGGGCUAAAAUAUUUGCAAAUUAUAAAAGUAUAUUUUCACUUAUAUGUAAUUAACAAAUUUUGCCACCUAUAUUGAUGAAAAUUUGUGUUUUUGUACUAAAAAAUAAAGAAUAAUACUAUAGCAAUAAAAUCUAUGCUUCAAACCAAAUUAAAAAUAAAAAAAACAUGAUGAUUGGUCUCAAAUGUUGGGAAAAUGAUUAUUUUUAUUGAAACUAUGUUAUAACCAUAUAAUUUGAGUUUAAUUAUUUUCAAUUACAAGAUGUUCUUUAGUGCUGCAAUUAUAAGAAAUUAGUAUAAAAUAUUAGCAAAUUAUAAAAGUACAUUUUCAAUUAUAUGAAAUUAACAAUUUUUGCCACCUAUGUUGAUGAAAAUUUUUAUUUUUUGCUAAAAAAUAAAGAAUAAUACUAUAGCAUUAAAAUCUAUGGUUCAAACCAUAUUACAAAUCUAGAAAAAAACAUGAUUUUUGGUAUCAAAUGGAGGGAAAAUGAGUGAAGUCAAAAUUUUGAUCAAAUCAUUAGUGAAAGUGCCGCGCAACAAAAACAAUAUCCAAAGCAAGACCAAAGCAAUAUCCAAAGCAACGGAACACUUGAGACAAACCUUCACCGAGCUGAAGUAAACAAAAGCUUCUGCACUAAGCACCAAAACAGAGCUUCCGCACUGAGCACAAAACAGAGCUUCCGCACGGCCUGAUACUUUCACCCACACUUCUUUGGCUUCUCACUAGCAUCACCAUGGCUGUCCAGCAUUAAAGUACAAGGUUUUCAGGUGGAAAGGUUCGUUUUCUCUCUCCUAUACAUUUUCCCCAAUUUUUCCAAAUCCCUAAUAUGUAAGAUCCUUUUUGUUAUCGCUACUGAGUCGCCUGGAUUAAGCUGUGUAGCUACUUGUUUUAGCUUCAAUAUUUCGGGUUAUCUGACCACAGGUUAGGGUAGUUUAGGAUGGUCCGAGGAGCCAGUGCUCCUUAUUUUCUGGAAUGCAUUAAAGAGGGAGGAGACAGAAUUGUUGAAAAUUGGAAUGGAAGCCUAUGUUGGGCAUUCCGAGAGAAGGGAUCGAGUUUUGUUUAAAUAACUGGCCAAUUAGGUGAGUAGUUCAAGGUUAUUUCAUUGACAGCGCAAUUAAUCUUGGGUAUAUAUCCCCUUAUCCGAUAAGGUUGCCAUGAAAGGGGACAGAAAUUGAGGGAAUGGACGAAGGAAUCAUUUAUGUCCACUGCCCAGUUCUUGUGAAUUAGCAGCAACCAAGACUCUAGUCUCAGUGGGUCUAUUUUGUCUAAUAUUUUCAGUUGCAUUGCAAUAAAUUCUGGUAUUGUUUUUUUAAAAAGAAAAUUCUGGUUUAAUGCCCUACUCGGUGCUUUAACCUUACCUCAACUGAGAUAAAAUGCCAUGCCCAAAACCCCUAAAGAUGGCUUUCAGGUGUUCUACUAUUUUUUAAUUCCCCUAAAGAUGGCUAUCAGAUGUUUUAUCAUUUUGUCUUAUUAGUAAUUUCUAGUCUUAUGAAUCAGGUUCAUCCCUGCAUCUUUGUGUCAAACCUCUUUUAUAUGGCUCUGCCCUUUUUUGAAUUGUUCUCCAUUUAACUCUUUGGAAAUCACUUUCUAACUCACUGCCAGAACUAUAACUCUUUGGAAAUCACUUUCUAACUCACUGCCAGAACUAGUUCUUUGGCAACUCCGUUACCUCAGAAUAUCCAGUUCCAUUUCAAAGUAAGGGCCAGCCCUUGCCUUUUUAAAACCCUAUUAGCUACAUAACUGCCUUUACGCCUCAGGUCCAGAUGAAUCUGAGGACAGACAUCUACCUAAGUUAGUCAUCUCUAAUGAAAGUUUUCCAUGCUUUGAUGCUUGGUUAACCGCAAACCUUCUUAGACAAGUAUUGGUUUAGCCAUGAAUUGUUUCUUGGAAAAUUUUUGAUCAAAUACUAAAAGUUAGAAUUGUUUUUGGAGCAUUUUACUGGACAUGUUCGUGGAAGUUAAAUAACCAGUGGACAACCAGAAUGAGGCCAAAUAUGCACCUUACAUUGCACGAGCAUAAAUUUAACUUUGAUAAAACAUUGUUAUGAUGAGUGUUGCUGAAUACCUAAGACACAAUAAUUUUCUGUUGCUCCUAAGAUGCUUUUGCCUUAAGACCUGAGCCAUUGUUUGAGUCCCUAGGCCGAAGGAGCUGUCUGAUUCAGGUGUUUCAAGCUAUGUAAGCCACUGCAGUUAGUAUCAGGAAUCAUAUUGCAAUGCUUAAAAAUGAAACUCUCUGUGGAAUAGUUGAUAUAAUAUAGUCUUUAACAUUUGUUAGUAGUAAAUUGAUGUGAACUAAUGGCAAAAAUAAUGUAACUUCCAUUAUAGAAGGGCACGGAGAGUUUUUGCAGAAAUGCUACUUAAUUUCAGGUUUUUUGUUUCAAGCAUAUCUGCUUGGGACUGGUUUCUUAUUGCUGCUAGAUGAGAUUUCUAAGUUUUCCCUUAAUCUGCAUUUUGACAGUUCUUGCGAGCUUCAGGAUUACCUUAAGUUUACUUCCCUUUCUUGAUUGUAUUGGCUGCCUCGCAGAAGAAAAGAGAAAGGGUACAAUGGGUGGGAUAGAUUUUCUAAGGCACCAAAUAUAAUAGGGAAGAGUUCAGUCAUUACUGCCAUUAACAAAAUCACAUACUAAGGCUCUUCCAAUGAAAAUUCACAACAGUCAUGGCCAUUAUAAUUUAUUUUUGAGUUGAUAAUAUACUUCUAGAUUAUAUAGUAGUGAAUAUACUUCCAGAUUAUAUAGUAGUGAAUAUACUUCUCUCAUGCGCACAUAAUGUGUGGACCUAAUUUCUUCCCUUGUACUUAUAUUUUUUGGCUGUUGGCUGAUGGAUGAUGGCUAGUCAAAUAGUAACAUUUGACAAAGCUAGACUAUAACAGGUUGCUUAUAGUUUCUAAAAGGAGAGAAAUGGUGGUUAUGUUUCUUCUUACUCAUUUGAAGAAUUGAAAACCUGAAUCUGGUUAUGAGAGCAGGUGGAUGAUAAUGUUCAAUUUGGUGAACAAAUUGUUCCUUCAACUUUUGUAACUUUAUGAUAGUUAUUCUGCUUUAAAAUAGUGAUUCUAUGAUACUUAUGUUUCUUAAGUGUACAAACAUGUAAUGACUGCUAAAACAUCUUGUUGGUCGUUUAGAUCCUCAGUUAUCUGUAUGAGGUUUCAUGGGUUGAGUUGUUCAUUCAUUUUCAUUGCUGAAUUAUGGUACCAUUCGACUUCAUUACCAGCUACUAGUUCCUUAUUUCCUGCCAGUUGUCAGUGCAUGAAUCAAUGUUAAUGAGUUUUUUUUUUCUGUUACUUUCUUUUCUGGGCCAGUAGAUUACAGGCGAUACUUCCCAUUAUGAUGCUGUAGCAAAUUCAGCUGCAUCUGGAGUACAGUCUGCAGGCCUUAAUUCUGGUUAGUCGAUGUUAAUGCAGGCAAGCACAAUAAGAAAUGAUGAAAUACUAUUUGCAUAUUUAACCGAAGGGUUAAAUUAACACCCUAUAUCUGAAAUCUGCACUUUUGAUGGCUUAAUAAGUAGCAUAGUUAUAUUGAUUAUGUACAGCACUUUUGUCUGUUAUGAUUUACUAUAUAUAUCACAAGCUCGUUUUACUUGUAAAGAUGGUGAAUGUCAUUAUGAUCAUGGAUAAAAGAACAAAAAAAUCCUAAAAAAAAAAGAGGAAAGAAUCCAAAAUGUCGUACAAGAAUUAGACUUGCCUGUUUAGAGAAAGCAACCCUCAGUCAAUACUCGUUUUGAGGGAGGGCAAGCUCAGCCACUUUGAAUCCUUAAUACUAUUAAAGUCUGGCUGCCUUCUAGGCUCUUUUUUUUUCUUUUUUGAGCAAUAGUCUGCCUUGUAGAUUAAUUUGCUACAAUUCCAAAGCAUUCUUGUGCUACAUAUACCAUCAAUCACACAAAUCUAUAUGUAUAUACAGAUUGACAUAGCAUAUGUUCAGCAGUUUAAUCAACCAUAAAAAACAAUGUUAAUUUGAUCCUAAGAUUCCAGUGGCUCUACAGCAUGUUAAGAGCAGAACAGGAGUUAAUAACAAGCUAAAAUUCCAAGUCUUUGUUACAUUGAGGGUUUUCUUUUCAUGAACUUUAGUAUUAUAGGGUACAAGUCCCAUUUCAGUUUUAUGGAAUUUAGUAUGCAGUAGCACCCAAACUAACCUUAAUUUUCAAAAACCGAAAAAAAAAGAAGAAGAAAGAUACAGAACUGGGUAAUCUUGGCUUGUAGUGGUGUUGUGACAUGAAAUAUAGGAGCCAAUUUUACAGAUUCGGGUUUGAAGACAUGACACCAUUUAUGUUGGGCGCUAGCUAGCUAAUGGAGUGGAGAUACUUUGACAAUAUUCUAUGCUCCUCUUAAGCUAGAGUACAUUAUUUAGUGUACAAUGAAGCAAAAUUUGAGGACUGGUUUUCUAUUGCACAACUUCAAACAUGUCUGUUAUGGCUUUAUCUUUUGUUUGCCAAACUUUUGCAUGUAUACUGUGGCUGCAGAUUCUAUUUAGUUUGUUGCCUUACUAAUGCAUUUGUACUUGAGAUGGUUGAUUUUUGCUAAAAAUGUGUUUUACACCUUGGAUCCCAUUGCUGGUAUUUGAGGAGUUUAAAUUUAGUUCAUAUUACAUUGCAUUUGUUUUCUAUAUAAUGUGGCGGUCAUAUUCUUUAUGGUAGGAUAAAGGGCUGCAACAAUAUGGACAGGAGUUGGAUGUCUAUUAAGAACUACCUAGACCCCAAGUAUUUAGAUGGAGUUGAUGAAUUUAUUAAGUUUGCUUUUCUAGGCAAGGAUCCUAAUUGUAAACUGCCAUGUCCUUGCAAAGUAUGCAAUAAUUUUGAGGAUCAAACUAAGGAAGUCAUGGCCAAUCACUUGUGUCGAGGAAUUGUUGAUAGUUAUACUAGGUGGAUAUAUCAUGGCGAAGGGUUUGAAUCUGAUGAUGAGGAUGAUGACAUAGAAAUAAAUGACAACGAUAGUGACUUUGACAGUAUGGAGGAGCUGUUAAAUGAUGUAGGAGUUGCUAACUUUGGUGAGAGUUGGAGACAUUCACCGGAACUUGAUACGGGUGCUUGUACCGAGAAAGAAGGAGAAGCAAGUAGGUUUCUCAGAUUAUUAUCGGAGGCUGAAAAAUCUCUAUACCCAGGCUGUGAAAAGUAUUCAAAACUCUCGUUUAUUGUCCAUAUCCUCCACUUGAAAACAAUGAAUCGGUGGACUUGUAAAUCUACUGAUAUGUUGCUGAAGUUCUUGCAUCAAGUAUUUCCUACAGCUUUGAUUCCCAGUUCAUAUUACGAGGCAAAUAAUUUCAUCCGUGAGUUGGGGCUGAAGUGUGAAAAGAUCCACGCCUGUGAAAAUGAUUGCGCACUCUUUUGGAAUGAAAAUAAAGGCCUUGAUCAUUGUCCAAAUGAAAAAUGUAAAGCACCGCGGUAUAAAUCUCCAAAUUCCAAAAUACCUAGAAAGGUGUUGCGUUAUUUUCCAUUAAAACCAAGGCUGCAAAGACUGUUUGUGAACAAAGAGAUUGCUCGGGAUAUGAGGUGGCAUAAGGAGAGACGUGUAGAUAAUGAGAACAUGAUGCGACACCCUGCUGAUUCAUUAGCUUGGAAGGAUUUUGAUAGAAAUCACAAGUCCUUCGCUGAAGAUCCUAGAAAUGUGAGGCUAGGACUUGCUAGUGAUGGCUUUAAUCCCUUUGGAACCAUGAGCAAUUCAUACAGUAUAUGGCCUGUUAUCCUUGUUCCUUACAAUCUACCUCCUUGGAAAUGCUUAAAAGAUCCAUUUUUUUUCCUAUCAAUGAUUAUUCCUGGUCCCAAAGCACCUGGAAAUGACAUUGACAUAUUCUUUAGACCACUAGUUGAUGAGUUAAAAGAGUUAUUUGCCACUGGUGUGGAGACAUAUGAUGCCUUCAGGGAGGAGAAUUUCAUGUUACGUGCAGCACUUUUGUGGACAAUAAACGAUUUUCCAGCAUAUGGCUAUUUGUCGGGAUGGAGUACAAAAGGGUACAAGGCAUGUCCUGUGUGCUUAGAUGAGACGACUAGUCUAUAUCUUAAUAAUGGUCACAAAUGUUGUUACAUGGGCCAUCGCCGUUUUCUACCUAUUGAUCAUAAAUGGCGUCGAGAAAAAAAGCAAUUUAAUGGAGAAAGAGAACAUAGACAGCCUCCUAGGACCCAAUCAGGUGAGGAAGUCCUCCAACAACUUCUUCGUAUUGAGCAAGUUGAGUUUGGCAAGGCACCUGAUUUGCUGCAACAGAAGAAAAGAAAACGCGUGCAGAACAGUUCAAAUUGGAAGAAGAUGAGCAUAUUCUUUGAACUUCCAUAUUGGAGUACCAAUAAAAUUAGACAUAAUUUGGAUAUUAUGCACAUUGUCAAGAAUGUAUGUGAAUCUUUGGUAGGUACAUUAAUGAAUAUCCCUUCGAGAACUAAGGACACAUGGCAGGCUAGGGAAGAUUUAAAAGAAAUGGGAUUAAGGGAAGAGUUGCAUCUACAACCGGGAGGUGGCGCAUCUAAAGUUAUGCCACCUGCAUGUUACACUUUAUCACGCCUAGAGAAAAAGAAUUUCUGCCAGUUUUUGAGCACUAUCAAGUUCCCGGAUGGCUUUGCUUCAAACAUUCCUCGGUGUGUGAAGACCAAGGAGUGUCAACUUUUAGGAAUGAAGAGUCAUGACUACUAUGUGUUCAUACAACGACUUCUUCCACUAGCAACUAGAGGAAUGCUGUCAAAAGAUGUAUCUCAGAUUUUAGUAGAGAUCAGCAAUUUUUUUCGAAAAAUUUGUUCUCGAACUCUCUAUCUAGAUGAGCUGGAAAUGCAGGAAAAAAAUAUUAUUUUAAUACUAUGCAAACUUGAGAAAAUUUUUCCUCCAAAUUUCUUUGAUGUAAUGGUCCAUUUAAUGGUCCAUUUACCCACUGAAUCCAAGAUUGCUGGUCCAGCCCAAUACCGGUGGAUGUUUCCAUUUGAGAGGUACAUGCCUCUUAUUUUUUAAUAAUGCCUAUUUGAUUUACCUCCAAUUUUCUUAUUUUCUAACAACUCGGGCUGAAUUUUUUUUGGAUAGAAAAAUGGGUCAAUACAAAGGCUAUGUGAAUAAUAGGGCACGACCUGAAGGCUGUAUAGCUGAGCGCUACUUGGAUGAUGAAUGUCUUACAUUCAUUUCCAGGUAUUUGCAUGAUGUUCCGACCAGGUUUAAUCAAACGGAACGAAAUAUGGAGAAACACGAAGCUGCUGGAAAAUUAUCUAUAUUUUCUAGCUUGGCUCGGCCCUUUGGGGCAGCACUGAUUGGUUAUCUAAGUGAGGUUGAAUUGCAAAGAAUACACCUGUUCAUCUUGAAAAAUUGUGAAGAAGUAGAUGAUUACAUGAGGUAAUAAUAUACUUUAAUGCUAAAUCUAUGUCGUGUUCUAUAAUAUGUUCUUCAUUGCUUGUAAUUAAAGUCAUUUGAUAGAAUAUGUAACUACUUCUACUACUACAAAUUUAGGGAGCAUAGACAAAUUCUUGAAAAGCAAAAUUUAUCGAGCGUACAGCAAAGGCUAGACUCGGAGUUUCCAAAGUGGUUUGAAGAACGUGUAAGUAUUGGAAGAGAUGUUAAAAACUUGUCAAUUUCCUUUACUUUUUAUUUUAGUAAACUAUUAAAGAAUCUGGUAUGGCUGAUGUAGGUCAUGUAUACACAUGCACGUGGAGAAUGUACUGAUGAAUUGUUGUCCUUGGCUAGAGGACCUGAUUUUCGAGUCAAUACAUUUGCUGGCUGUAAUGUGAAUGGAUUUAGAUUCCACAUUAAGGCUCGGGAAAGAGAAAGAAAGACACAAAAUAGUGGAGUUAUGGUAAAGGGGGAGCAUGCUGAUAAAGAAACAUACUUCUAUGGUAUAAUUACUGAUAUAGUUGAGGUUGAAUACUCAUUUACUCAAAAUCGAGUAGUUGUGUUUAAAUGUGAUUGGUGGGACUUGAGAAAUAAUUCGGGAAUCAAAGUAGACAAGCAGAGCAAUAUCACUAGCAUCAACAUGUCAAAAACAUGGUACUCAGACCAGCCUUUUAUAUUAGCAUCCCAAGCUGAACAAGUUUUCUAUCUUCAAGAUAUGAAGCUUGGAGGUAAUUGGCAUGUUGUAGAGUUAGUUAGUCCACGCUCAUCUUAUGAUGUUCCUGAGAAGCAUGAAGAUGAUUUGGUUGAUAACGAAGAGGCUUACCAAGAAGAGUAUCAUGAAGAUUUGAUUGGUGUACAAGAAAAUCUUGAGUUGGUCAGUUUGAAGAGAGGAGAUGUGCAAACUGAAGAAAGGAUAGAGGCUGGUGCUAUGUUUUUUAUAGAAUUGUCAGCUAGCCGUGCAAGGCAAUUGGAUGACAAUUUUAUUGAUAAUGAUGAGGAAAUUGAGCAACAAUUCAAUUCUGAGGAUGAAAAUGAACAAUUUGUACAAAUCGAUGACUAUGAAUCAGAUUAAACAAUGUUGUUCAUUGAAUUUCUUAAUCAAAUUUUUUCUUGUAUUUUUUCUGUAGUUUAUGAUAUGUUGUCAUGGCUGCUUGUGUUGUUUACGAUUUUGGUGGUGCUUGCGUUAUAUGAUUAUGUAGAUAGAUGGCUGGACCGGGGAAAAAGGGAAAAUUUACUUUACGACAAAGUCGGGAUGCUGGGCGAGGAAUUGUGGAGCAAACUGAAGAAAAUGUAAGCUGUCAGGUAAAGAAACAAGAGUCAUUUCCAGAUAUUUUCUUUUUUCCUAAACUAGCAAUUAUCAUCCUAAACUAGUUACUAUUGAUAAGCGCAUUCUUAUGUUAUUGUAGCAAGCUAGUGAACCAAAAAAUAGUGCAAUUCCCAAGACAAGCAAUGUCACUGAACCUGUAUUAACAAAAAAGUCUUCUAGGAUCCGUCUAUUUGAUGAAUCUGAGGUUAGUUAUUAUUUUUUUCAAUCUGCCAUUUAGAUAAACUGGUUUAUGACAAAGCAAUUGAUUCAACUUUUACAUGUCGCUGUAUAAUGGUGGCUUAAAUUGCUGGAUUAUAGAUUCCUAGUGCAUCCUCUGCUAGAGAAAAUGCUACAAGAAAUUCAGGUAUACAAGCUGAGAGUAGACAGAUUGCUGAAAAAUCUUCAGGCAAUGGAAUGACAUCACAAGAAGCUGCUAGGAUGCAAACUGAUGGAACUCCUACUUCACAGCAUGUUGGAUCUAAUCAAGCUAUUGGUUGUGAAAGCAAUGAAACUGAAAGUAUGCAAGACCUUGAGUCAAACGGUUCAGGUAUGUCAGUUUUACGUGUAAUUCUACUCUAAUUAACUAAUUACUGCCAUGGCUGCUAUUGUUAGCACUUAUGGUCUUGUUUACUUUGUAUCUACUAGACCAAGUGACGUUAAAAAGAAAAAGAGGAUAUACGCGUAAUAUUGCACUAUCAAAUGAAAAGAAAGCUGGAAAAAAGGUGAACAUUACUGUUUCUGAAAUAAGUGGAAGACUAGUUGGAGAAGGUGCUCAGCGAUACAUUUCAGAGGCAAGCUGCGUUAUUCGAAAGUAUGGCAAGUGGAAAGCACCUAAAUGGGGCAAGCUUCCUAAAGAUGAUAGAGAUCAACUGCUAAGAAUUACUAAUGUAAGAAUCUGCUAUCAUAGUAUUUUUUGGUUUUCUAGACGCAAUUUAAAUUAGUCCAUUAAUUUUUUCUGAUUUUGAUAUGUCCUUCUAUUUUUAAUUCAGAAUAGUUUCACUUAUGAUGGAGGAGAGCAUGUGAAACCAGCUUUAAUUAAGCAAUUAAAUUCACAGUAUAGAAGUCGACGUUAUAAUUUUCACAUGCUAUUCAAAAAAUGUGGCUCUAAGGAGGAAGCUCUUGCACGUCGACCAGAAUAUGUGGAAGAAUCAGAUUGGAUUUACCUUUGCGAUUACUAUUGUAGUCCAGAAUUCAAGGUAUGUGUAGCACAUACUUGUUAAUUUGCUAUAUACUUUGCCAAUGUCUCUUUUUUAUCUAGAUCUGAGAUAGAAUUGACAAUUGUAGGCCUUAAGUGAGCGAAAUAAGCUGAACAGAUCAAAGCAGCAAACUGCCCAUACAGCUGGAACAAAAUCAUUUUUACGUCAUAAGGAUGACCGGGUCAGUAAACGUGUAAAGUAGUUCAUUUAUGAUGUGUGGUUGGGUUAUUUAACCUGUUUUGCUAAUAGGAAGCUAAGGAGGGAAGGACAGUUGAACCAAUUGAACUUUAUGACAUGACACAUUUUUGUCGAAAGAAGAAUGCUAUGGUUGAUGAGACAUCAGCUGAAAAACUGGUAAGAAAAAUAUCACUUUCAACUUAAUACCAAUGCUUCAUGUCUCUUAUGCAUAUAUCAAUAAUAGCAAACCUGUGAUUGUAGAGCAAAAUGAAGGACUUACAGCUAGAAGCUCAAUCUAGUGGUGUAAAUCGAACCGAAGAAGACAUUUGUAUUGAAGUGACUGGGCGUAUAACUGGAUAUGUACGUGGUCGUGGCCCCUCCAAGGCUAGUUUAAUUACACAAAAACUUGCAGAGAUAGAAGAAUUCAAGAAAAGGGCAGAACAAGCUGAGAAACGAUCAGUUGAAUUGGAAGUUCAAGUCCAAUCUCAACAGCAGCUGAUGCAAAGGCUUGAGAAUCAACAAGCUGAAAUGCAAAACCAGCAGCUUGAAAUGCAGGAACUCCUUAAGGCUUUACGAGCAGAAUUGCAGUCCAAGAACCAAGGCAAUGGAAAUGCAUCUGGUAGUAAUAGCUGGUAAUGCAUCCUUCUCAUACGAAUAAUUGAAUUACAAUACUAAUGUGAACUGUUGCUAUUCUGAUCCUUUAACUUAUUGAUUUUGGGGCUGAUGUUAUGCAUCAUUGUGGACUGUUUUUGAUAAUAACAUUUUUUGGGGCUGAUGUGACCUGUUUUUGGGUAACUUGUGGUCACUGUGGACUAUUUUUUGGUAAUAGCUGGUAAUAGCAUUUUUUGGGGCUGAUGUUAUGCAUCAUUGUGGACUAUUUUUUGUUAUAGUUGUGUAGUUUAUGGUUAUGGUUAUGGCUGAUCUGUUGGUUUUGGUAACUUGUGGUCACUGUGGACUGUUUUUUGGUAAUAGCUAGUAAUAGCAUUUUUUGGGGCUGAUGUUAUGCAGCAUUGUGGACUGUUUUUUGUUAUGAUUGUAUAGUUUAUGGUUAUGGUUAUGGCUGAUGUGUAGUUUUUGGUAACUUGUGGUCAUUGUGGACUGUUUUUAGAGAGCUCUUAGUUGAGCUUAUUGUUUUUGCUGUUGCUGUUGCUGUUGGAAACAAAAGACUAAGUCGCACUUUUUUAGUGGGGCUAUAGCACACCUCUUCCUUUUCUUCCGUACUCCGUCCACUGACUCGUCUGUUUGGAACUCCAAAUUAAUUUUUUUUCUGUGAUGAAGGAGAUGAGAAAUCUCUUUUAGUCAAGAGAAAGUCAAAUAUAGAGGGAACACUUGGGAUCGGAUUCCUAGUCAAUUGAAAAUUCUUUAAUAGAACUGUCAACCAGCUGCCAAUUCGUGACCUGUUUGGGCAGCGCAAUAUUAUAAUACUCGUGGACUAAAACAUUUAGCUAACUUCAUAAAUUUGAUGGAACCUCACUUUGGGACUGGGGAGGAUUGAGAGAGACGUUGGAAAGAGUGGAGCCAGUCAAGUGGAUUCCACUGCCUCUUUGCCUCCAUGGGAUGGGAUGACGGAUACCAAAUGCUGAGGCUGUUAAUUUGAGGUCCGAAUCUGUUUGCUACUGGGAUAGGCAGUUUUGCGAAAAUGGUGGUACGUUGGCUAUUAUUUAGUGCAGUUUUCAAACCCCUUUGGUCCCCUCCUCUACUCUACCUGGGGUGGUGCAGUCAGUGGCCCAAAAGCUUGCUUUUGCGUACCUGAUAUGCAAAAUGUGACCUAUUUAAAACGAGUACCAGCCGUAGCUUAGAUCGAGAGGUGGUUGAAUUAUUGAAUACUCCUAUCAUUUUUUGGGCUGGCUAGCUUUCUAUUUUCCUGCGCCCUUUCUCUAAUCCACAUCAUGGAGUUGCUGGCACUCUGUUUUGUCCAGCACCAACCGAUCAUUAUUGGAGGAUUCCACAUCAUGGAGUUGUCUUGAUUCAAUUUGGUACUGACCAUUUGUUUCCUCUCGGAGAAGGCAUUAGAAAGAUUUUUUUUUUUUUACAAAAACACACCAGUAGUAAUUUGUGUUCAAAUUCCUAUGCGAUCUGAUGUCUGCCGCUCGUAAUUAGAAGCCAUUGUGCUCCACAAAUUUAAAGGCAUUGUACUGAAGAAAGUUUCGAUCAAGUUACAUUUAGCCUAAAGGUUGCAUCGGACAAGAGGACUUAUGCAGUGUUGUAGAGAUGCUCUUUAGUUGAGCUUAUGCAGUGUUGUAUUUGUAUAGAUUGGACUGUGAUUUCUAAUUUCUUGUUGGUGUUGUAAUAUGUGGGCCCAAAUUAUAUGAGGUUCUUAAUGAAUUGUAAUUUUUGUCUUAAUAAUCUAAGUCUCAUCACUUGUUCUUUAUUAUUGUACUCCUCCCCUUACCUACUUCUUUUACUCUUUUAUGACAGAUAAAUGCUAUUCAUACUAGCUUUUGGAAGAUAUCUAUGGUUAUGGUUGAAGAACGUUGAAGACAAAAUUGCCUUUUGCUCAUGGAGUGGUUCAUUUAGAUGUUUUUCAAUUUCUUAAACUGUGAUUGCUUUUGUACUUGUACCUUAUGUAUAAGUGAUAUUUUGGACAAAUGUUAUUUUUGUAGGCAUUAGUUGGGUAAUGUACACUUGAAUUUGGCAUUUGAGAAUGCUAUAUUAUUACCAUGUAAUCUAAUGCAAAUACUUUUGGUUAUCAAUCGUUCAUGUUUAUUUGUAUGGUUUGUUUAAAAUCAAUGAUUUAGCAAUGAUUACAGGCCAAAUUAUGACUAUUAAGCUAUUGAGAAAUUAUUUAAUGACAAAAAAAAGUUGUCACAAAAUAGAAAAUAAAAACUCCUUGUCACAACAGAGGCUGUCACUAAAUCUAAGCUACAUUUGUGACGACAAUUGUUAUCAGUAAAAUAGUUAUAUACAAUGGCUUUCGGUGCUUUUUAGUGACGACUUUAAGUAGAGCAUUUUUGACAAAAGGUCAAGUCGUCAAUAAAACACUUCCGGAUUGUUGUCACUAAUGACAACUAUUUAGUGACGACUUCAGGUCGUCACUAAAUAGUUGUCAUUAGUGACAACAAUCCGGAAGUGUUUUAUUGACGACUUGACCUUUUGUCAAAAAUGCUCUACUUAAAGUCGUCACUAAUGAGAACUAUUUAGUGACGAAAUUUUAGGUCGUCACUGUUUACUUUUACCGACGGGGAUUUAGUGACGACUUUGUGACGAUCAAAAAGUCGUCAAUAAAAGGUAUUUGUGACGAUAUUUGUAUGUUCUGUGAUGACUUUGUAUUGUCACUGAUGAACAAUUUUCUUGUAGUGUCCAUGACACGGCUCCCCAUUGGAGCCGUGUCAUGGAGAUUACACGCAUCAUGGAUAUGAUGCGUGUAAAUCCAUUGAAGAUGGGCCCUAUGGCAACGGUAAAAUUCCAGCACAAAGCACAUUUAACAUUUCCAACGGUUAUAUCCAACGGCACUAUUUUUAGAAUUCUAUAUAAACACACAACACUUUUUGCUAAAACAUAUCCCAAUAUUCUACUCUAUUAUUUCUUUUAUUCUCUCACACACUUCUACUCCCUCACUCAUUUAAUUCAUUUUUUGUGAUUAUGGAUGAAAAUUGGAGUAGUUUUACAAAUAUGUUAAAUGCUCCAAAUAUAGAAAAUUCAUCAUCCUCACAAAAUCAAAACCCCCAAAAUUUUCCAAAUUACCCAUUUUCUGGUAUUCCUACAAAUGUGCAAAAUUAUGCAUUUCCCCCAAAUUUAUCCACUUCCAAUCAUCCAUCAAAUUUGUUUAAUUUCCUACGUAAUUAUUUUUAAAAAAAUAACAAUAUAUUAUUUUUGAAACAUAGAAAAAGAUAUAUUAUUCAAACUUAAAAAUUAAUAAUAUCAUUUUUAGAAAAUAAAAAAAUUCAAAAUGUACAAAAUUUAACGAAAGUUAGUACUUUAUUUUUUAAAAAUAACAAAAUUAGUUUUAAAAACUACUUUAUUUAUUUAUGGGAUAUGAGUUAUGCAUUAUUAAAAUAAAUAUUUGAUUAAUUGUGGACCCAUGCUAUUACACCUUGUGGAGUGUAAUCCAUUGUGAGUGAAAGUGUAAUAAAAGAGGAGAAAGUGGAAUGCUGACGUGGCAUGUGAAUUACACUCCACAAAGUGUAAUAGCAUUAUGGAUGCUCUUAGUGUAUAUACUGAAUGAAUGCUGAUGGCCUAGGCAAUUAUAAAAAUACCACAUUGAAUUCUUGAAAGCACUACUGCACUUUUCCAAAGAAACUCUAGAAAAACAAAAGAGUCAACUGUAUCGACAAUUAUGGUAAAUCUUACCUUCCACUUUGAAUAUUCUUAAAAACGAUUAACUCUUCUUUGCAUGGGAUCUUCCAUUUUGAAGCAUCUUCAAGCUCUGGCGAUGUCGAGAUUUUGAGGGAAGGGAAAAGGUGCUUUUUUGAGAAUAAUUGAAAUAUCACUUUAGAUUUCUACUCCUGAGAAGUGCAAGUGUAGUUGGCAAACUACUAAAUAGCACCUCCCAGAUAAGAGAUUUUUUUGUCUAUUGGUUUUAAAAUGGGAUUUCUGUUCUAAAUAUUGCAGUACUAAUAUUUGGUUUAGUUUGUCAAUGGCAUGAAAAGGAGUGGCCUACUUUAUGGACGUGUAAAUCCAAGAGUACACAUAUAUCACAUUCAUAUUUACUAAAUUCAGAUUUCAGAUUUCAGUUUUGUCAAACACAACCUUAAUCAAAACUAAACUAAAUUAUUUUAUUAAUUUCAUCACUUAUCUUUAGUUACCUAUGAAUUUACUCCUGCUUGUCUUUACUCAUGGUUCCAACAAGACAAUCCAGGAAAGAAUCAUAUGGGUCCAACAAGCAGUAGUUGAAAGCUCUGAUUUUACAAUCCAACCCUGUACUUAAAUGACUAAAACAAAAUGAAACCUGCAUUCCAUGUUAGCACCACAUUCUUUCUCUUCUGGUUAGACAUGAGGCCGCAGAAAAGAACAAUUGAAUUAAGAGUUGAUACAGUUUCUCAUACUCUAUUGUAACUGCAAAUUAGUUACAACUUUUCAAGGAACCAGACAAACUUUAGGUCUGGGAUUCCAUUUCCAUUAGACUAUGAAAUUAUCCAGGAGUUUUUAGUCUCCAACUAAGUACCGGUAAUCCGAGAAUCAUUUGACUAUUUCCAGCCUGUCUGUCAAAACCAAAACAACAGGGCUGCAAUACUGUCAUCUGCUAUUUGCAUGUAAUAUAUCACAAAGCUCUACUCUACAACCAUUCUGAUUGAAACUUCUACAGCUAUACACCACCAGAUCACCAAGGUUAAACCUGUAGAGAAGAAUUGUAUCAUUAGUCAAUUUCAUUUCACACCUUCACCACGUGCGUCCUGAGCUGGACUUUCUUUCUCUCAUGAAUGUGUGAUUAUACAGUCAAGACAUGUAAAACACCUUCAAUGAAAUAUGAAAACAUCAUGCUGAAAAUUAAAACUAUCAUAACUUAAACUACAGGCCAACUCAUAAACGGAAAGAGGAACAUUCAUGCCAUCUUACAUGAUAAUGGGCUCAAAGUGGACCUUCACUUACUAUGAAUAUUCAUUAAAGUUUUCCAUUUUUUAUUAAGUUACAAACUAUUAAAAAGUACAGCAAUGAAAAUAAAGGGUCAGUGGUUGGCAGUUUUAUUGCCAAUACUUAGUUAAGCAAAGAAAGAACCCCAAAGGUACAAGACGUCUCAGCCCCCUUGCUUUCUCCAGAACACAAGUACAGCAGACAUGUAAAAGGAGGUUACUACUUAACUAAGCACUUGAACCAGAUGAUCUGAGGAAACAUACUAGGGAGACAUGUAUAAAUCAUAUUUGUAACUACAGAAAGACCAUUACCGUGAAAAUAUUCUAUUGUAAUAACAUGUUACAAAAGCACCAUUACUGUGAAAAUAUUUUAUUGUAAUAACAAAAUGACGGUGGAACUCAAAGAAAAAAGGAACAUACCUAUCAAACAUAAACCUUCAUUAUAAGCUUCUUUUAAUGAUGCCACCAGUUAAAGAGAACUUCAUAUCCAUCACCUCAGCAAAUCCCAUGUACAUCCGUUCGAUGCAAAGCAAUCUUGCAUAAAAAUCACUAAAACUUCUUGCCCUAACACUACUAUUUACAUUUUUGAGUCACCAACUUGCAAAAAUUUACUGCUAAACAGAGCCUUCAUUCUAUGCAACAAGAACAAUGGUGUUAUGCUUCAAUCCCCCAGAUCCUACAGCAGCAACAGUCUCAACAUUCUCUUCAAGCUUGUCAGCAGUAGAAGCAUCAAGAUUACAUGGAGUGGUAGCCCCAUUCACAAACUCAAUUGUUGGUUUGGAAACUUCUCCACCUUCAAUAAGAAGCAAGAAGUAAGCAUCUUAACAGCACGGAUAAUAAAAUGUGUCAAGAUUUGAUGAAUUACCCAUAGUAGACGUUUUUCCUUCUGUGCAAAUAGGCUUCUGCAACAUAUCUGUGCCAGGAAAUGCAACCAUACUCAUAUACUUCAUUUCCUGCCUCUUUGAUUCCUCAAGGGGGAGAAAACCAAAAGCCUUUGUCCAUGUUUCUCUAACUUCAGCUACAGCAGGAAUGACCAGCUUCUCCACAUUAAGAGAGGAGAGAGCCUGCAACAAAUUUAGGAGAUUUAGAUCCAAAAGGUACAAGAUAAAGGGGGCAAAAUAAUCCAAAAGAUAGGAUAUGAAUAGGCAAACAACAUUAUAUGACCCCUUAGAGUGGGGGAAAGAUUAAAAUCAUGGAACCAGCAGAUCAAUGAAACAGACAACUGCAUGCAGAAAAAUCAGGGCAACAGUAAAACCCAUAAUGCAUUGUAAAUCAAUAUCUGAUCUAAAAUAAAGAGCUUGCACAUCACCAGCACCCGUAGCUGAAAGGGAACUCCAGCUGCAUAGAACUUUUGUUACCAAUGAACUUUUUUACCAACUCUAAUAAAAUAUUCUAAUAAAAUCAUUAAGUUGUUACCAGAUAUAACUUGAUUGAGAUACAUUUUGCUGAUAACAUUCAACACAUUAAAAAUCACAACUUCCACUAUGUAGAUGUCAAAGGUGGAUGCUCAGGUAAAGUCAUCAGUAUAUAAACUAUGACUUGUGAGAGCAGACUUCAGAAUAUCUGAAAGUGCAGUGUUUGGACAGUGCAGAAUACAUGAAUGGGAUUAGAAUGAAGAUUAACGCAGCAGAUUUUUGUUUUCUUUACUUUUCUUUUUUCUGGGUGAAGUCAAGCCAGCAAUUAGAAUAACAUGGAUGUAGCAGACACAAACAAAAAUAUGACAGGGAUCACUUGGCUUGUUCUCCAUAGAGCUCAUCUCAGUAAGAAACUUAAACAUAAAGUCUAUCACCAACCCCAGUGGGACCUAAACAUAAAAACGAACUUUGAAGCACAAAGUGGAUACAAGACAAAGAGAAGUAACAAGAUAACAAACAUGUAAUCCCUUCUACGGCUAUAAUGUUUUUCUUUAUAAAAUCUGCAGUAGAAUGCUCUCUUAGCUACUUAUACGCAUGUAUGCUUGUAUGUUCACAUUCUUCCAUCUUUCAACUUUUUACUGACAGGAUUGAGAUAGUGAGAAAUUCUCUACAAAUUCCACAUUAAUCCUUCAUAGAAUCUGGUACUGAAAGCAAUAAUGCAGUGGAAACACCUUAUCUUUUGAAGUUCUGGAAAUCUAGAACUUGUUCCAUUGUGCAGUCAUAAUACUUACUCGAGCAAACACAUGGGCAUUAAACACCACAUGAAUGAAGUACAUCCAGAAGCUUUGAUUUCCAUAGUGGGGCCUCUUAUAAGCAUUAAAGAAUUGACAAAAAUAUGAAGGUAUAGACAGGAAAUACCAGUUCAAUUGCAGUAAGAAGCCGACGGCACAUCCCUUGACGUCGAUAAGUAAAGCGAGUCCCUAUGAAAGGCAUCUCAGCUACCUGAUUCCCAUGCACUCUAUUGUUAAAAGAGAAAAAGAUUCGAGUGUUAGCUUUUAGAUUAUAAAGACGGGCAAAAAAUUAUGGCACACACAGAGAAGUUGGAUCCAAUAUUGCUUGAACUCUGGCAUUUCAGCAAAUCAGCAAACAGCCAAAUAAAUGGGCAAAAUAUCUAACGACCAUAGAAAGAGAUCAUCACAUAUAAGGUGCAUCUUUAUCAUAUUUACUGAAGGAGUACAUGAAAGUAAUUCAACAUUUAUGGCUUACAGUUUGACAAAUCAUUAUUAUCUAUGCAAGAAACCAGCCCUGGAUCUACCUUAAAAGAAAAGCUAUAAAAGUGACAAGAGUGGAGUUUGUAAUGGUAUUUUAAGACCACAAAAUCAAAAAGUAACAGUCACAACACUAUUUGGUGCAAAAUCUUUGAAUACCUAAUAUAUGGAAAGGUCUCAGAUUGGAAGGUCUCACAGAGAUCAUUUAAGAUCUUAGUAAGGGUUACAACAGAAAACAUUGGCAGUGGAAUCAAAACAUAUGCUUCCAGUUGACAGUCAUAUACUACUCAUUUCAUCCUUCGAGCGUUACUAACAAUCACAUUCUCUAUCUUGCUCAAUAGGGCCCUACUGGUUGGAUUCAUCACUUUGCUCACAUAUAAAAUAGAGUCCAGUGAAUAACCACACAAUCUUACAUUGUACGUGCAACUUGCCGUCAAAAUCCCAGAUACAUGCAAUGGCCAACUCAACCUGAGUAGACUAAAUCAUGACCAUAACUAGGCUAUUUAAUUGCUCGUUUCCUGAAGAUUUAUCUUCCAAGAAGACCAACAAGCCUCUGCUAUUUCCAAUACCAUAUCAUGCAAGCCACUCAAAAUAUGCAAGUUUGUUCGUGCUGUUUAGCAAAAAAUGAAAGUCAACAGUUAUAACUUAAUUGUUUAUCCUAUUGUAAACAAUAAAGGGUAAUAUCUGCAUAGAUGAUUGCAGUUUGGGUCAUUAAAUCAACCAGAUUAACCCAGCAUGUAAAUAAGUAUGAUCAUUCUCUUCAUGUUUCUUAUUGCACAUAAAUAUAAACAAAAAUAAUAGAAAGGGAAAAAAAUUAAGGCAUGUGAUAGUUUCAGAAAUUCUGAUGGCUCAAAAAACAUUGCAAGGCAACAGAAGAACCAACUCACAACCUUACAGCUGCUGCAGAGACAAGUUCAUCUCCCCUCUCUAAAAUGAAAGUAUAGAACCACUGGAAGUUUAGCCUUCUCAAAUUUGAUCUGGGAAAGAAAAAUUGUCAAUAAAUAUUACAUUUUAUUCUACGCUCAAGCUAAUGUGCAUAGUUGGUAGAUUAGCUACAUAUUCGAAAACAAGUAAUAAAAAUUUAUUUGGAAGAUUAGCAAAGGAAACAAGAAGGUUCUCCAAAAAUUAACCACUUUACAGCCAAAAGAAUAAGCCAGCACCAAAGAAUAUCAAAGAAUGGAAAGAUGACAGGUCAUUCAAGCGUCAAGUGCAAACCCCGUAAAAUAAGAAAAGAAGUAAAUCUUCACCUAUCAAGAGUGGAAAAAAAGUUUGGUUGCAUGGACUUAUCAAAUGCAUUGCUAGUUUCAUCUAUUAAAAGUCUUUGUUGUAAGUGAUGCUAAUACAGAUGAUACAAAAAAAUAAGGCAUAAGUUUCAACAUCAAUAAAAGGAACCUAGACCAGCUAGAUCUCCACCAAAAAUAUAGAGUAUAUUAAGAAUAAACAGCUGCAAUAUAAGAAAACACAAACUUGACUGCAAUGUGAUUGCCAAAUUAUUAUUUCAUUGUUGCCUAUACACCUGAAAAUAAUAAGAAAACAGAAAAAGCCACUCCUAUAACCUUCCCAAGUAUUUUAAGACACUCCACAACAGUGCUAAAAAAAUUAAGCACACCAAAUAAGGAAAAUGAUAGGUACGUACCCGCAGCUGUAUAUCACACUCUGAAUCACAUUAAUGUUGCUUCUCUCGUCAAUGAUAGGUUCGAAACACUCGUCCAUGAGGGAAAGUGCGAUGGCCAACUUAGAAUUGCAUAGAACCUCCAAUGAAUCAGCAUUACCAACCACAUCGGUAACAACAUCUUGACGACGAAGAACGGUCCACGAGUAUCCUGCUUCCAACUCAUGUCUCACACCAAGAAGCUUCUGUAGAUUUUCAUAUAGCUGUUUAAAGAAUUCAGUACAAUUAAUAAAAGUGGGUAAAAGUUCAUAUUAACCAUAAGCCUAAUCUAACUAUAAAUAGGGCAGAGGUUGUGUUAAAGCGCAUUUAAUGCAUGAUAAACCUCUAGAUAAUAUAUCCAAACCCAAGUAUACAUCAUUUGGCAGGAUAGAAUAAGGAGAAAAAAAGCCAAAUGCUGACCAACCUAGAAAUAAAAAGUGGAAUGAAUACGUUCAACAAAACUAAGCAAAAUGGAUCUCUAUCUAUCACAAGAUGCAUUACUGCCAAGCAUUCACAUAGAUGCCAGAAAGGUAAGAGCAAGAUCUGAAAUAUUAGAACGAGUAUAGCGUGAAACACAAAUAAUGGAAUCCUUGAAUAAAGCUUAACCAACCAUAAAUCAUAUAUUUGUGGACUAAAUUCAGUUACCGUAAAACUCAUGUCCACAGAAAAUGCACUCAUGUUCCUCAACAUAACAACUGCCCAGAUAUGUUCAAGAAUUUUUAGCAUGUACACAUUCUGUCCAAAUUUGCUUACUAACUAGAGGCACAAUAAAUGCAUCAAUAUUAAUCAAUAAGCUCAUACUUUACGAGUUUGCUAUAGUUAAGUCAUGAUGUUGUAUCUCAAAUUUCUGCAUGGUUAUAAAAGGUUAUACUCAAACUAGAGCAUCAGGUAUCUCCCCCUCAAAAAAAGAAAAAAAAAUCCAUGCCUUGUGAAGUCCACUAUUUAGUGCAGUGGCAUUUAACAAAUUUAGGCAUCAACAUAUGGCCUUCAAUGUGCAUGAACUAAGAUGAGCACAUGUGCUACAACUCGAGUCCUGUUGAAAUACAAGCCAAGUUGUCUGCAAAGAGGAACGUGUUUACAUUAUAUAAUCAGUAUCAUACCUUCUGGCAGCCCCUCCCACAAAAUGAAAAGUCUGCUGCAUGAUUGUCUACAGCAUCCUUUCCCGGUCUGCAAUGAGUAUGGACUGCAUUGAAAUGGGACAGGUUAAAAGUUAUCAAAAAUGAAACAGAAAAUGAGAAAUUAAAGCAAAUGAAUGUCACAGAAAUUACAGGAGAUUGUAUAUAUUUACUUACAUAUUUCUUCACAGAAAUAGCAUCUGAACCUUUCAUAGUCAUCCAUAUAAUCAAUCAGAACAGGAUCAACUUUUUUCUUAUCAGGAUUCUCCUCCGUGUCAGUAGCAUCAUCUGUACCAGGAGCAUCAUCCGUACAAGGAGCAUCGUCUGGACCAGGAGCAUUCUCAGUACCCGGAGCAUCAUCACUCAGGGAGGCUUUCUCAGAGAUCUUCUCACAGAACUCAGCAGAGAAUGCCAUCCCACAGAACUUACAGGAACAGUAAACACACCGCCAAUAUCCAACUGGCUCGUGCUGCAAUGGAAAGUGAGGAAGAUAUAUCAUCUGAACUAUUUAGAAAGGAGAGAAAACUAAAAGAAUAGGAGGCAAUAGGCCAUAGUCACCAUACUUCCAUCUGCAAGCAUCUAUGAUGAAAUGUUGAUGAGCAACCAUCACAACAGGUCAAUUCACCACCAUCUGCACAUAUGUUACAGGUAUCGUCAUGGGGAUCAUCACCAGCAGCAACAUCAACAUUUACUUGAUGGAAUCCUAUAUUAUCAGUCUUUUCUUGUUUACUCCAUGAUUCUCUAAUGCACUGCAGAAGUGAAUGUCCAGACUCCAAAAAUAUGUUCUCAUAAGCCUGGCCCAGUGAGCUACCAGCAUGAGACUUAAAAUCUGCACAAGUCACUACUUUACCACAACAAUCACAGGAUAUACCCUCGCUAGUUAUCCUCCCUUCGAGCAGCAAAGCAGUUCUUUCAUGAUUCAUGCACUGCACCUUGACCCCUGGUGAUACAGUUCCCCAGUCAAUCAUCCACGAAAGUAGAGUGCGUUUCCCCUUGUACAUCUCAAAACCAUCAGCAUCAUGGUCAUUUUCAGGGCAACGAGCCAAAAGAGUACAAGGCUUUCUUUCUCCUUUCUUUCUUGAUUUUGACUUUCUCCUUCCUGAGAAUAUCACUUGGUUACCUUGCUCAGAAAUAUCCACCUUCUUCUUCCUAGAUGGUUUCUCUCCGACAUGUGGGUUAGCAUUGGAGUUUCCUUUGCACUUGGAGAGAGCUGUGCCAUCAUGCCCCUUUCCAGUCUUACUCCCACCCACUUUUGGUAGCUUUUUGCAUUUUUUCCCUUUCUCUUUCGUAAUUCUAUACAGUUUGCUAAGUUCAUCCUCUGGAAUCAGAGUAAAAGCAGAUAUGGCCUUGGCAUCUGCAGUCCCAUUUUCGACCAUUACUUUAAGCUUUUUAUAUGCCAAGGUAACUGACCAGUAAGUUCUUCCUUGAUGGUCAACAUAAACUGCAUCACAGUACUCUUUGCUCAUUCUUGGUCGAUACUCAAUUGUCCAACCUGCCUCCUUGAGAAUGCUGAUGAUUCGAUUUCUCAGCAGCUGUUUUUCUGUGUUGCGUCCCACUUCGCCUUCAUUUUUGUGAUUGCUUUUCUCCUCCUGGAGCUUAGGCAUGUCAGACUUCACUUUUUCCUUGUGCUUUUUUACCUUGACAACUUUGGCUCUCCGUAAGUUGAAAUUUCUCUCGGAUCCUGCUUUUGUUUUCUCGCCGGCAGCCACCUUCAAGUUUCCACUUUUCCCGUGAACUUUAGGAGGUCUUCCACGACGGCCCUUCACAGUUUUCCUUCCCCUCCAAGGAGGUCGAACACUUUCGUCAGCUUCAACCUUUGUCUUUAUAAUCUCCAACUGGCCUUCAUGGUCUCCUGCAUUCCCUUCUCCCUGAGCCUGCUUCACACUACCAGUUGAAGCUAUUGUCCUAGACCUCAAAACCCUUCCAAGUAUUAGAGGCCUAGCUUCCACAGCCAACUUUUGAACCUUCUUUCCCCCAUCUUCACUAACCCCAUCACCACUAGGAUUCGUCUUCCUUUUCCUUCCUCUGCGGCCCUUGCUAGUUUCCUGCCUGCUUUCACCAGUACUAGGAUCAGCAACCACAUCUCCAACCAUAUCAGCAUCUCUACCAUCUUCCAAAACUUCAUGCGUACUCCCAUCCUCCCCAAUUUUUGCAAGUUUAGCACUCUCCACCUUCAGGGACUGCAGUUCCGCACCCCCAUCACCAGAUAGUCCACUCGCCGCCACCUUUCUUUUUCUCCCUCGUCGUUUUUUACCUACCACUUCCCCGCUUAUGCUAGCACCACCACUCACAUCAACAUUUACAACACCAAUAUCAGCAGCAUUUGUAUGACAUGCCAAAGGUUCAGACUCGCUCACCUGCUCAGUGACUAAACCUGCAUUGGUCGAAGGAAAAUGAAACUCAGCCUUCCCCACAGCAUCCUCAGAAUAUUCACCACCAUUGCUUUUCAAAUUGUUUUCUUCCUUCCCUUCGCCCCCCUCUCCUUGUCCAACAUCAUCAGCGUCAGCAUUGUCAGCAACCUCCAUAUUAACACUAGAAUAAACAUCUCUACCGUCUUCUUGAGCUGAAAAAUAAUCAGUAGAAGAAGGCGAGGCAGAAGAGGGCAUUUUAUUUUCAGUAGGUUCCUUAUUCAAAUCAAGCAUUUCCCUUUCCCCUUUCUGCCGAGCAUUUGAUCUCAAACCCUCCCUCAUCUCCUUUACCAAACCCUACAAAAACAAAAUCCCACAUAAAAUCCAAAAGGGUUUUCAAAAAGAAGUUAAAACCAAAAAAAGGAGAAAUCAAAACAAGACGGAAAGACGGAAACUGGAAACACUAAAUACUAACCUUUUCCAGCAAUUCCAAUUGAAAAACUUCAAGAUUUUCUAUCUCCUAACAGACGCUGAAAAAGAAUUAUAGAUUACACUAGAUUUCCAACCCAAAAAGGGACAAAAAUCGCAAAUGUACCAGGGAAGCAAUUAAAAUUUACCCAAAAAAAAAAAUCAAACUUCAUACCAAAAAACUUACCAAUAAAGAAAAAUUUCCCGAAUAAUCAAUCAAGAUUGAAUCAAGGCCUUCUCCUCGAAAAGUCAAUCCUUCAAUGACCAGCUGCAUUAAAAAAAUUCGGGAAAAAUAAAAAAAUCGAAAGGGGUUUUAGAUUUUGGAAGGGGAAAAUAAAGGGUUUUUGGGAACUGCGGAAUUUGAGUUCAAAAGGACAAGAAAUGGAUGUCGGAGUAUAUAUGGGUCCGAGGUCGAUGAAGUGAAUUACUCUUUAGGACUGACGGGUUUGUCGAAUAGCGCUUAGACGGGGCUACAUUUUGGGGAAGAUGGGGAGGACCACGGAGGGCUAAUUUUGUAAUUUAAAAGAGGUAUGUUAAGAACUUUACAUGAAUUUCCCUCCAUAAAAUUGAAUCAAAGAAUUUAAAGAAGGAAAUUAAAAUAAAAGUUUACAGACAGUGGUUUGACUUUUGUUUGAUGGCAUCUCGUUUUAAGGGAUGGGGGUUUAUUCUAACAAAAUUCCACAGUUUAAGAACAUUUUGGACCAACUUAUCAAGAAGAGGGAAAUAAUAAAAUUUAGCCAACUUUGAUUUUUUUUUUUUAAUUGUAAGAGAAUAAAAGUAAAAAAAUAAAAGAAAUAGCUUUUGAAUUUUCUUUUUUCUUUUUUUAGAAAAUUUUGGUUCCAGAUCAAAGUCAAGCAUGAUUUUGGAAAGAAAACUCGUACUCAUGAAUCAUUAUUGAUUAAUUACUAAAAGAUCAUAGAUGCAAACUCAGUUUUCAACCAAAAAAAAAGUAAAAAAAGAGAGACAUGGUUAAGUGCAAAUUUUUACUAAAAAAUAAAAAUAAUAAAAAGAAAAAGAAAAUAGCUUUUUGGUUUUUUCCUUUUUUUAAUUUUGGUAUCUAGAUCAAAGUUAAGGAUGCAUUUGAUAAAACUAAAGUCUGAAGUUUCAAAUCUAAAAUCUGAAUCCAUUAAAUUAUUGAAUUGUUAAGUAUUAGUAAAUGUAAUGCAUUUGAGUACAACCAAUAUUCAAUAAUAAGUAAAUAACUUAUCACUUAAUUUUGGGAUUAAGUUUUGUCCAGAAAAUUUAGUGCCACUUAAUUAAUUUAGAUAUUCAAUUUUUGGUUAUCAAACGGUCUAAAUAUGUUAAGAUCUAAAUUCAUUAAAUUUAAGUACUGAAUUGGAUUAUCAAACAGUACUGAAUUGAAUGUGAUUUUCAAUAGAAAUACUCAAACUCAUGAUAGAUUGAAAGGCAUUGUUGAGUUGCAUGGGGUUGAAAAGGUUUUGGGGAAAAUUAAUUGAUUUAGAAAAAAAGUAUACCUCAAGAAAGGGAUCAAUCAAAAUUGAAUUGUAAAUUAAACCCGAUCAACUGCUAGGUAAUAGUGAAACAAAUUAAUGAAAAUUUUGGCUAAUCAUAAAUUCCAAAAUGAAAUAUUUAAACCUAGAUUUUGUCAUUUAUUUUGAUUAAUUAAAUUAUUUGCUAUCAUAUGAAUAUCCACAUUAAAUACACAAACUAGAAAAUUCUGAUUUCUUAUCCUAAAAAAAAAUUAGAAAAUAGAAUCAUGAGAAGAAUUUAUAGAUCUAAUAGAUCCGCUAUCCAAGAAUAUACUUCUUGACUCAAUAAAAAAUAUAUUAAUUUUUCAAAAUCAUUUUAUAUAUUUGUCGACAUUCUAAAUUGAGUAACUUCUAAGUGCUCUUUUUUUAAAAAAAAAAAAAAAAGAUCAUGGAUAUGAUUACUAAGUAAAUUUGAGGAUCAUCCAAAUGGGAUUGCAUUUUUUUCCAAAAGAAAAAAGCCAUAGGGUUUGAUUAAACUUUUGCUUUUGAAGAUCUCUUCUGAUAUAAAUCAAGCGGUUCUACUAGAAUUGAACCAAAGAAUAAUGGAAAAUCAAGUAAGGGAAUUUAGAGUUUGAUUCAGCAAAGAUCAAACAGUUCUAAGUUGUUUUGACUCUCACUGAUUAUGAACAAUUUGCUCUCAAACUAUUCUAUUCGAUUUUUUUUUUUUUGGGUGACCAAAAAACUGUCUUUCUAACUCUUGGGGUGUUAAAAGAAAGUUUUGCACUUUUGUGGGGUAGCUUGGUGUGAUGAAUCAUACCUAUAUUUUGGCACUUGUCUUAUCUAGCUCAGAACCCUCCAAAAGAGCACUAAUCGUGCAUUUGCUGUUUCUCGUCUUGUGUCUCCAAUUGUAAAAGAACAUAAACCUUCUUUUUUUUUUAUCACAAAAGGACUGAGAUUUCAUUUGAUCAAAUUGAAAAACAUAAACCUUGAAUUACUUUAAAAGCUUAUAUAAAAAACACGUAUUUCUCCUGCAAAAAUUUAACGAAAAAAUUUUGGUUUAUGGCGAAACUUAAAAGUAUAUAGAUUUUCUAAUAUCAAACUAUGGCAAGUCAACAUCGCAUGAAACUAUUAGAUGUACUAACGAGUGCACGUUGAGCACCGUUAGGAAAGCUUAAUUAUUGUAAAACCUUUAUUUUUUUCCCAUUUUUGGUUAGUCAUCUUAAAUAUUUGAAGCUUGAUUCUUAAUUACUUUUUUUUUUUUUUGAUAACCUGUAGAGUAACAUGGUCUGUCUAAACUUAAGGAGCUUUUAAAUUUCUAUUAUUAUCAUAAAAGCUGGCAUGAAGAACAGGUUUGCACUAACUAAUUAAUUAGCCAAUUAGUGGAGAAUCGAAUAUUAAGACGUACUCGAGUAUGCUGUUAUUGGAGUCACAUAUCGACUGAAUGAUAAACUUUUGGGACUCAUUUCAAUAUACUUGUGAAGUUGACUGCUACUUAGUUGUUUACUCUUAUGCACUAAUAGGCCCCUUUAUAACUUUUAAGAGUGUAAUUAGGCUCGAGCUUGCGAUAUAGAUUUCUAAUUAUAUUUGGGGCAUAUUUGUAUUUUAUCAUCGGUUUUUUGCUUUUUUUUUUGGGGCAAAUGAGAAGAACAGCAUAAAACUAAGACUCUGUUUGGACUGGGGAUUUUUUGAAAAUUAAAUUUUCAAUUACAAUGCCACAGUAAUACACAAAUAAAAACAAUCUCAAAAACACUAAAAACAACUUCAAAAAUACAAAAAAAAAGCAACCUCAAAAAUAUAAAAAACAACUUCAAAAAUACCAAAAACUUAAAAAAUACCAAAAAUACAAAAAAUAACCUCAUCCACGGCAAUAGCUUUUCAAUUACAUUGCUACAUUAAAAUAUUUUAAAAAUACAUCUAAAAACAACUAAUCCAAGCCUAAGUUAAUAGUUUUCUAACUGUUUUUGGACAUAUUCAUUUAAGCUCGACUAAAGUCAAUCAAUCAAACUUUUAAACAAACAAAAUAUGAAUGUCCAAAUUCAAAAUAAUAUAUCUUUUUCAGUGAUUGUUUCUAUAAAUUUGCCCCAAAGACCAUAACAAGUCCAGCUAAUGAUUGCAAGAAGACUUGGCAUCAUUACAAAAGCCUACGUGGGGUCUUUACUCUAGACUUAAGGUCCAUGGGAAGCCCUUCCUGUCACCAAUUGGCUGGAUAGGAUUUCUCUGUGGAUCCCCUUAGGUUGCUUCUUCUGGGCCAGUUUCUCGAUGGUUCCUGUGUGUAUUGAGCGUUGGUGUGUGUGUUGGUUUUCUACUAGUGGAAAGACAAAAGUCUACGUUCAGUCUUCACACUGCAAUAAUGAGUAGGGUCCAUGAUCAAUAAAUGGCAUUUGGGAGAAUUUUGUUGCCAUAGUUUUCAACAAGAACUUUCCUAUUUUGUGUUCUAUAAUUAUGUACGCCAUAGUUUUCAACGAGAAUUUUUCCUAUUUUGUGUUCUAUAAUUACGUACACCGUGCCUUGCUUGGAUUGUAAGUUUUUUAGAAAAAUUUUGAUAUUUUUCAUGAAUACGUUUUUUAAUUAUUUUUUAUCUCGUAUAUAUCUAAUCAUUAUAGUAUAUUUUUCUACAAAAAAUUCUAAAAAUAGCAAUCCAAACUCCUAAAAAUAGCUAUAUUUUCAGGCAAAAACUAAUAAAAUCAUCAUAAUCUUACACUUGAAUAAUGUGUCACUUGGUCGCAUAAUGAGUUAUUAGGUAAAGAAGGUGUCAUUAUAUCCUUUGAUGUCUAUAUAUUUAUUUCAUGUUCCCAAUGAAUUUGGUGGUGGAGCAAUUGAGCAAAUUAUCUGCCGUUUCAAUUUUGAAAAAAAAAACAUAUGUUACUCUGUUAAGUGUAAACAAUUGAUGAAAAAGUUACAUGGUAUUGGAGAGUUUUUACUAGACAAGCGCGAAAAAGUACAAAAAUCACAUGAAUUAAUGGAAAUGGGGCUACAUAUAUUCAAAUCUGGAAAUUAAAACCUAUAUGGACAAAAUAAUAACACAAGAUGGGCUUAAAUACAUAUAAUUGUAAGGUAAAUCUACUAUUAUUGGUAAGGCAAAGUUGGGGAAGAAGGGCAAUGAAAUUCCUCAAGAUUAAAGUAGUAACAACCCUUGCUUGCCCUGGCUUUUCUACUUAGCAAUAAGCAAAAGAGUUGGCCCCAGGGUUCUUUAGCAAGGGAAGUUUUAUAUAUGUAUAUCCAUUCCUAUAUUUAUGUACUGAAUAUGUUGUACUUCCACCAAAGAUUGUACCAAUCUUCAAUUAACAAUAACUUUUGGUAUCCUUGGAAAGUUUUAAUUUCUCACCGUAUGAAAAACAAAGUAGGGUUAAUGCAUAUCAGGAAGCAAUUAAUAUUUGCUAGUUCUAAAAACUUCUUCAUUACUAAAACUAGGAGUGUGUAAGAUCGAAAAAUUCCAAUUUACCACUGAAUUCCAAUUGAAUUCGGAAUUCGGAACUGAAGUCAGGUUUUUUAAUUUUGAAUUAUGCAAAUUUGGUUCGAAUUCGGUAAUGAGAUUUUUCAAAUCGGAAUUUCCGAUUUAGAAUUCACAAUUCGAAAUCGGAAUUCAGAAUUCCGAUUUCGAUUUCAAAUUCAUUUUUCAUAUAUAUAUAAUUUUGAUAUAUAGAUGUAAUAUAACAUUUAUAUUAUAAUAAUAAUUUUGAUAUUCCUGAAUUCGGUGAAAUAGGAAUUUACCGAAUUCCGAAUUGAAUUCGGAGUUAGCGAAUUCGAAAUUGAAUUUGGUCAAAAAUUCUAAUGCCAAAAUUUCAAAAAAUCUUAAUUUCAAAGUUUCGAAUUACCAAUUUCGUUUUCAUUCACACCCCUAGCUAAAACUACAAUAAUUGUACUGAUAACAGUACUAAUCCACUAGUAGAGCAUGGGGGAAUGUAGAAGACUAGACAAAUUUACGCGGGGGCAAUCUUGAAGUUCCAUAGGCCUCUUUUGAAAGACAUUUAGUAUUUUUUUUGGCGGUCUUGUUAUGGGGUGGCGGUGGGGUAGGAUGCUGUCGGCCUCUCUGUCUAAGUGUCUAUUGAGGAAAAGCCAUUUAAAUUUCAAGAAAAGUUGAAUUGGAGGGUGAACUGGCCAUUUUCAACCUAAGAGCCUAUUUGAAUUGCAUUUUUUGGAGGGUUUGUGGAAAAGAAAAUUAUUGUAGCACUUUUUUAGAAUAUAAUGUAUAUGAGGUUAAAAAAUAAUUAAAAAAAUAUAUAGAAAGAAUAUUUACGAAAAACAUAAAAAUUUUCUCCAAAAAAUUGGCAAUCACAAGGCAUAAAUAUUUCAAGUUUGUGUCGUACUGGAAGUUCAUCUCCUCUGGACAACUAGGCAAAGCAAGUUCGCAGUCCUAUCCUUUUCGAUUUGUAUUUUGCUUCCCGUACCAGACAAUAUGCGUCAUUUGGUCUUCUAUAUGAGCUGUUUUUGUAUUACUUUUCGUCUCAUGUGUGUUACUAGCUUUAUAGUUGUUUUUGUUGUCUUUUAUAAUACUAUUACUCAUUCUUUGAUGUGUUUUGUUGGGUAAUUCUACUUUUCAUUUUAUAUUUUGAUUGAAAAUUUGUUGGCUAUGUUUAGAAAGAUUGAUACCCAUCAUAUGUUCAUGUACAUUAUGCAACUACUUGAGUGAAAUGCAAAUUCUUUUUUAUUUCCUUCAGAAGCUUUACAGAAUUAUUAUGAAGCUACGCGACUAGAAAUUGAUCCCGAUGAUCAAAAUUAUAUACAAAGUGGAGAAAGAAUGAGAGACUUUCAAAUUUGUUCUUGAUCUUUUUCUUUGACCUUUCAAAGUUUUCACUUCUUGUAUACAUUCUUUUUCUUUUGCAACCUAUAAUUCAACAGUAAUGACAAUUCUUAAAUAGGGAUAAUUUCAGAAAUCUCCCCUGAGAUUUUUCAUAAUAUUACUCAAUUCCCCUCAAAUUUUUAAAAUCUCACUUACCUCCCUUGUUAACUCGACAAGACAAAAUAUUCCUAUCAAAUGUCAUAAAUUGACAACAUUACCCUUGCUCUUAAUAACUAUUUAACCAAAAAGUCAAAACAAAAUAAAUUUUAAAAGCAAAAAAUGUAAAUUAAAGAAAAUUGCUAGCUAAUAAUGGUCAAUAUUUCUUUACAUUGGGGUCAUGGUGAGAUAACAAAGGAUGUGGAUAAAUUAAAUCUAAUCAAUAUCAAUCGCUUAGGAGGAUUUUGGAGAGUAAUUAACACUUUAAAAAAUUUUGUGUAUAGUUAAAACAUAUAUGCACGUUAGAUUAGGUAAUUUCAACUUAAUGAAAUGAAUAAAUUAUGGAUUAAAACAUAUAUGCACAUUAGAUUAGGUCAUUUCAACUUAAUGAUAUGAAUAAAUUAUGGAUUAAAACAUAUAUGCACAUUAGAUUAGGUCACAUCUGAGAGAAAUUUUAUUUGGAAAUCAUAAAUUUUUGAUAUCACAUUUAUCCUUCUAUGUUUCUAUCUGUGUCAUCCAUAUCUCUCUGACUAAUUCCUUUCAUUAAUUACAUUUCUUUAUAUCCUUUCAUUAAUUGCAUCUAACGUGAAAACCCUAAGGCAUCUCUGAUUGUUAAAUAAUUAAUAUCAAGCAAUCUAUUGCUGCAGGAAGAGUUGAGCAAUUAGGGUUUAAUUUUUGGGGAAAAUUAAUAGAAUUUGUCCUAAUUUGUUUAGAAGACUAUACAGUACUGAAUUUAUUGACUUAAAACCAAAUCUGUCCAAAAGGUAUUUUAUGUAUGAUAUUAGUCCUAAGCUUCACUUUUCUUUUUAGAAUAAUACCUAAAAUAAUCUGUUUCCUCCUUUAUAUUUUCUUCUUUUCUUUCCCCUUCUCUUACUUCUUUCGUUUAUUUUCACAUCUAAACCCUAAGCCCUUGAUUCCAUUUACUUCUUUCAUUUAGUUUCAUAUCUAAACCCUGAGCCCUUGAUUCCAUCUACCAUACAGCUUUAAUUGGAUCAUUGUUUCCACAGAAGAACUCGCCGUAAACUUUUAUCCUUUGUCAUGGGGGGGGGGGGGGUAAAGAGCUGAUAAAAGAAAUUUGUGGGGCAACAGGGAGAAAAAUGCAAUUACAACUCCAAAGAUGUAUGUCAAAUUGUAAUUAACAAUAACAAGCCUCUUGGAAUCAUCCAUGAAUGUCCCUAUUUACAACAUCGUCAUGAAUUGGGGCCGAAAUGGUAAACUAAGAAGACUUCGGUAUUUAUUUAUCUGAGCAAAUUGCACGAAAUGUCACUAAACUAUUAUAAUGUACUAAACUUUUUUAUUAGCCAAAAAUGUUACCGAACUAGUAAAUAUAUAUCGUUUAGAUCACUCCGUGUACUUAUGUCAUCAUGAGAGAUGAAAAGUUACUUUUUCAUGGACAAUUUCGUCUGCUUGUUUGCGAAUUCAAUAUCUGUGAACUAAAUCAAUGCAUGUUCAAGUUCCACACAUUUGCCAAUGAACCAUCCACAAGAACACCACUAAAUGGAUGAAUGAUAAACAUGCAAAAAAAAAAAAAAAAACAUAAAGAAGGAAUCACUUGCAGCUCAACAUUAAUGAACCAGGUAUCUACUUGGUUUAAUAGUUCUUCCUAUACUUUCUUCUUUUUCAAUGCUAGUAAGGCCCUAUCUUUCUUCUUUUCGCAGACCAAGCCCCUUGUAGCUUGCUUCUCAGCCUCAAUCACAUUCUUCGGCUGAGACACCGAUGAUGAUGGAACAUCACAAAUUAUUAUGUGCAUUUUCAAUCACACGCUAAAUUUGCAUUGUUUGAUCCUAAAAUAGUCGAGUUCUUUAACAUACCAUCAUCUAUAGACUCUAAAUAAUAGAACAUUCAAAAGCUUAAAAAUAUUGAAUCUUUACAAUACUAAAAGCAAUCCCACAAAAAAAAACAAGCUUAGGCCUUUGGGUCUUGAGGGAGAGGAUUGUCUGAUCCACCUCUGUUAUUUUUGGUUUCUUCACAAAUACAUAUCCCAUUAUUCAAUCCCCUCUAUCGUAAGACCCCCCAAGAAAAAGCAAAAAAAUUGAUGAUUGAAAAGCUAUUAUUCCAAUCCAAUUAAUGAACAGUUAUACCAAUUAAAAUCCAAACUUUGUGCUUAAUAGAAAUUAUUGUACAACCAAACGAAAUAGAAAAUCUGAAUAUGAUGAAAACCCAAAAAAUUUCUCAAUUUUUGGAAGACCCCAGGAGGAAAACAAAAGAAAGAAAGAAAGAAAAGGCUAAAGCCCAAAUGCUGAAAAGUUUAACAAAGGGGUUAGCUGUUGACUCCUGGGCUCUGGUGCUCAACCGAGACAUUUAAUGGAUCAAUCAACUCAUCCCUUUGCCUUUUCAACCAUUUCGCUGUCGCCAAUCACUUGUGCUUUACUGCUAAUUUUCAUCUUCGGCCGAUGCUUUGAUUCUCCUCACUAAUUACUCUGAUUUUGCUGGAUUAAUGCGCAACUUUUCUCAUCGAUUGUUUGCUUUGUCGGAAAUUUUGUCAACAUUUUAAACCCUACUCACCCCUAGGGGUGGAACUGAACCAAGUAGCUCGGCUCGAACUCGCGAGCUACUUGGUCAGCAGCUCGAGCUCGAUCUCGAACUCGAACUGCUCGUUAGAGCUAUCGAGUCGAGCUCGAUCUUGGAAAUAUGACACUCGAGAACUCGACGAGUUCUAUCGAGUUUUUUAUAAUAUAUAUUUUAAUUUUUAUUAUUGUAAAAUGUCAAUAAUAUCCUUUAUUUAAAAUUAUAUAUAAAAUAUUAAUUUUUAUUACUUGAGCUUGUUUAGGCUUGAUUGAGCUCGAAUAAGCUCGAUUGAGCUUGAUUUGAAUUGAUUACAUUUAAUUAAACUUGAGCUCAAGUUCGAGCUCGAGUUCCAUAAAUUAAUGCCGAGCUCGAGCUCGAGCUUAGUUAUUUUGCCUCGAGUCGAGCUCGAGUAGUGCACUUAGGGAUGGCAAUGGGGCGGGUGACCGGCGGGCACUCGCCCCGCGGGGGACUGUUGGGGCGGGGGCGGGGGGUAAUUUUAUUCCCCCGUUUAGAAACGGGGCGGGGGACGGGGAUACAUUCCCCCGCCCCAACCCCCGCCAAAAAAAAAUAUACAUAUAUAUAUAUAUAUAUAUAUAUAUAUACACACAAAAGUAACAAAAGAACAAACGAAGAAACGAACCUCCAUACUUCUCACACCCUCUCUGCACAUAAUAACAAACCAUGACCAGAGUUUGAGUCUUCCCCCGCAGACUUCUCAUCAUCAUCAACAACUAGUGCAUAAUUUAAACUAGGCCCACUAGCUACUUUGCCAACAGGAGUAAAAUUGUCAGCGUCUACCAAAUCAUCAGCAACAUUGAAAUGCAAACUAGGCUCACCGCAACUUUGUUGAUAUUUCUGCUUCAAUCGUUGUUGAUUACUAGCACCAAAUCUUCCAGAACAUCCAAAUGCUGGGCUCUUCAGAUUUGCCCUCAAAUCAGAAGAAAGUUUCGACCUUUGGGAAGAAGUUUUUGAAGCGGGCCUUCUAGCGGAUUGCCACUGGGAAAGGAAAGAAGGGUUCUUUUUAAAACUUUGUGAAGACGAUUUUUUGGGCACAUCAUUUUCGUUAGCAAUUGAUUUAUUAGAUCUAGGCCUGGAAGAAUUAGAAGCUGAUUUUGGGGCGGACUUGGCAACGAGGGGUUUAUUUCUGAGUUUGAAAUUGGGAUCCUUCUGAAGAUCGGAACUCGAAGAAGAAGAAGAGGAGCGAGGUCUUGAGUUUGACGUGGAGGAAAGCAGAAACUUG
RNAcentral lists this long non-coding RNA (70794 nucleotides) under Coffea arabica (coffee). Its description in RNAcentral is "long non-coding RNA (CARA_LNC000492)". The record is from RNAcentral. Lineage: Eukaryota; Viridiplantae; Streptophyta; Magnoliopsida; Gentianales; Rubiaceae.